UAGUAGGUCUUGUGUGCUAUUAGGAGCACGGAGGCCUUCGUGCUCCUUAGCCGUUUUCGAUGAUGGAGCUUCCGAAUCGACGAUCGGUUCCGUUAGACUUGAUCUAGCAUAUUUAAAGUAUCUAGAAAAUAAAUUGUGACUUUUCGAUAUCACUACCUAACGAUCGAAAGGGUUCAAAAUCAACGGCUGAAAAUAAAAAUCUCAUAAAAAGUGGUGAUAUAGCAUUAAAAUUUUCGAUCAGACAUAUUGAUCUUACUGUAAAUAGUAUAAAGAAUUUUCUAUCAAAAUUUUAUCUGAUUUGAGUACUUCUACACCGUUAAACUUGAAAACGGCAUACAUCAACCAUUGAAAAUUGUUGAUUUUAAAUCCUUGCUAGGUAAAUGAUACCGAAAAAUAGCAAAAAAUAUUUUCUAGAUAGUUCAAAUGUGCUAGAUCAAGUCUAACGGAGCCGAUCGUCGAUUCGCAAAUCAUCGAAAACGGCUCAGGAGCACGGAGGCCUCCGUGCUCCUGAGAGCACAGCAGCCCUUCUCUAUAUAAAUGAUCGGCUCCGUUAGACUUGAUCUAGCGCAUUUGAACUAUCUAGAAAAUAAUUUUUGCGAUUUUUCGGUAUCAUUUACCUAGCAAUCGAAAGGAUUUAAAAUCAACAAUUUUUAAUGGUUGAUGUAUGCCGUUUUCAAGUUUAACGGUGUAGAAGUAUUCAAAUCAGAUGAAAUUUUGAUACAAAAUUUUUUAUACUAUCUAUAACAAGAUCAAUAUUUUUGAUUGAAAAUUUUAGUGCUAUAUCACCACUUUUUAUAGGAUUUUUAUUUUCAGCCGUUAAAAAUUAUUGAUUUUGAAUCAUUUCGAUUGCUAGGUAAAUGAUGUCGAAAAAUCGCAAAAAUUAUUUUUUAGAAACUUCAAAUAAGCUAGAUCAAGUUUAACGGAGCCGAUCGUUGAUUCGGAAACUCCAACAUCGAAAAUGGCUCAGGAGCACGGAGGCCUCCGUGCUCCUGAGAGCACAGCAGUGCUGCUCUAUAUAUAUAUAUAGUUGAGCUAGAAUACUAUCGAUAGCAAACGGGCUCUGUUGCCACCCAUUUGUUUUCGAUGAUAGAGCCUCCAAAUCGACGAUCGGCACCGUUAAACAUGAUCUAUACCACUUGAAGUGUUUAGAAAUCAAAUUUCAAAUCUUUUCGAAAUCACCUAAUGAUCAAAGGGUUUCAAAAUUUGUAAUUUUAAUGGUCGAUAUGAGGCGUUUUCUCGUUUAACGGCGUAAAGAUAUCCAAAUCAAUUGAAUUUUUGUUAGAAAAUUCUUUAAACUAUCUAAAACAAGAUUUAUACUCUUGAUCUUGAUUACAAGACUCCUAUCAUUGUUUUUUAAAGAAUAUUCAUUUUCAACCGUUAAUUUUUGUGUCCACUCAGCAUGGAUUAAGCACAGAGAACAAUAUUAGAAAUGUAUGAAAAUUAGAUUCUAAACACUUCAAGUGGUAUAGACAUGUUAAUGGUGCGCGAUCGUCGAUUCGGAGGCAUCAUUCGAACAAAUGGCGGCAACGGAGCCCGUUUGUUUCGAUGAUAGCUUAGGUUGGUAUAAAUAUCGGUUAGAGCUAGGCUGGUACUACUUAUCGGUAGCAUGGAGGCCUCCGUGCUACCAAGUUGUUUUCAAUGAUGCGGUUCCGAAUCGACGAUCGACUUCAUUAGACUUGAUUUAUACUAUUGAAAGUAUUGGAAACUAACUUUUCAUAAUUUUUCGGUAUCAUUUACCUAUCAAACGAGUAGUCUAAAAAUGAACGGCUGAAAUAAAAAUUUUAUAAAAAUGAUGAUAAAUGACUUGAAUAUAAGAUCAGAGGUACUGAUCUUACUCUAAUAGUAAAAAGAAUUUUUAUAAAAAAUCAUCAGAUUUGGAUUGUUUUACACCGUUAAAUUCACAAAGCAUCACAUCUACCAUUAAAAUUGUCAAUUGAGACACCUUUUGAUCACUAGGCUAAAUGAUGUCUGAAAAAUUAUGAAAUUAGUUUCUAAAUAUUUUUUAAAUAGUGUAGAUCAGUCUAACAGAGCGAUCGUCGAUUCGAAAGCCGCAUCAUUGAAAACAACUUGGUAGCACGGAGGCCUCCGUGCUACAUAGUAUACAGCUAGCUCUCUCUCUCUCUCUCUCUCUCUCUGUCUCUUCCUCUCUCUUCUCUCUAUAUAUAUAUAUAUAUAUAUAUAUAUCCUUGCAAAAUCAAUAAAUCAUCUAGUAAUUUGCACUCUGUAUUCAUCUUCUAUAUACCCAUUGAUUGUGUAAUUUCUUACAAAAAGUAAUCCUUAUCUUGGUUAUCUGUAAGAUUUUUUUGAAAAGUGAUAUUUUAUAAUUACAAAAAAUUCAGUGAAAAAAAAACUUCUGAAGAAUGUAAAUGAAGAUUUAGUUUUUGCAGAGAUAUAUUUGUCAAAAGAAGAUGCUGCGAUGGUAUGUAUGCCUUUAUUUCCAAGUGUUAUGUUGACUGAUGGGGUACGUGACAAUUGUAAUUCCAGGUUCUCUUCCUGCAUGUGGAUCCUGCUGUGGUUAAAGUAUUUGGAGGCAUUAUGUUUGCUUUUGCUGCUGCUGCUGAAAGGAAAUAAUGAAUUGAUCUGGUUUGGAGAAAAUGUUACUAAUAACUCAAGAUAAUAUGUAAAUCAAGCUUCUGUGACAAAUGUGCGGGCAGUUGUGUGGUGUUCUUUUCAGUUGUGUGACCUUCUUUUCAUUUCUUAAAUCACGCUUAAGUGAUAAAUAUGUGGACAGUUGUAUGAUCUACUUUUCAUUUCGCAAGUUGCCUAGGACUGAUUGGGGAGUAGAUCAAUAAUAAAAUAAUGAAACUACUACAACAAUAAAAAUAUAUGAGAAAUGUACAACUAUUAAGCUUCUAGUAAGAUAUCAAUAUGCCAAGUUGUGUAGAUAUCCAAGGAAAGAUUUACUCAUGUUAUUUUCUUAACUCUAGCCAAAUUAUUAAUUUAGUUUUAAUUCUAUUUUAAACACCUCAUGGAGAGCGGAGGGUAAUAGAAACUCUUUCCAAUCGAUAAUCACUUGGGGCUGAGGGUGAUGGUACGAUCCAAGUUAAGGCAUAGUGUUGGAUUUUAUCCAUUGAUAAAUUUUGAUGAUAACAAAUAAAUUUUACCGGCCGUCUCUAGAGCAAGUGGCAAAGGGCUUGGUGGUUGGCAUUCGAGAUUCAAGUUCGAAUCUUAGUUGAUUCACAUUUCUAGCUAAGUUUAUUUCUAAAUGAAAUAAAUGAAGCGGGUAGCGUGCUACCUAUCUCUCUCAAAAAAAAAAAAAAAAUUUUGGAUUUAAUUUGUUACUUAGUAAUUUCAGGUUGUAGUAAAGAAUUCAAAGUGACUCAAGCCGAAACGGAAUUGAUCAAAGGUCAUUCAAUCAAAAUUUUCAAAUUGGUCCGGACAAGAUCAAAUUGUACCAAAUUGGAUGCAAAUUCUACAAUAAUAAUUUGGAGGACUUCCUUGCAAUUUAUCGGAUUUGAGCCGGUCAACCUAGUCAAGUUGAUCCAUUCACCUUUUGGGUUUGAUUUGAGCUUAAUGUCAAAUUAGCUAUUAUUUUUAAUAUGGUAUGAAAGGGAUUUGAUAAAUGGUAUAAAUUCAAAAAUAUUUUUAUUAUGGCAUGAAUUUAAAAAAUAUGAAAUAUGAUAUAAAUGUGUAGCAUACUGAACUUUAGCAAAUUGCAAGGUUCCAGUAUUAGAAUAGUGUUUUGCGCUAUUUUUGGUGAUUUUGAAGGUCGUUGACUGGGUACCGACCAAUUGCUCGUGUUUCGAGAACGCGAGGAGGAAUACUUAGCACCAAAACUCGUAAAAUCAGGUUUUGGGGUGCUGAGUACGUACCGGUACCUGGGUGAGGUACCGGUACCCGAGUGAGUAACCGAGAAGUGCUGCUCUCGGGUUUGAGUUUUGGGAUAUCGGGUACCGGUACUAUUUCGAGCGAGUACCGGUACGUCGUAGUCUGAAUGCUUGACCGAGGCUCGGGUUGAGCAGAUUUUGGUGCAGGUACCGGUACUCCUCCCCGAGUACCGGUACGCAGUGUGUAAAACUGUAGUUCGUGCAGUUUGUAAAUUUUGAGUGUUGAGGGGCUUGAGUGGAUAUUGUUACAAUGUGUUUAAAUAGCCCUUCAGCCCUCUUCCCUCCUUAGUUGGCUGAGGCUUGAGAGAGAGAAUAGAUGUGGGUUUUGCUCUUCUUCUCUUUUGAUUUUCUCCUCUAAACUCUUGGAUUUUUGAGGAUUGAUCUCUUUUUCUUCUUUUCCAGCAUGAAUGCUUGCACCAUGGAGCUUGGAGUUGAUGGGAGGAACUUGUUGAUGGAUCAAACUUCAACCCUAGCACAUCAUGGCUUAAGUUGAAACUUGUUUUGAGAUUAGAACAUGUCACGCCCCGCCCCGAAACCACUACCAAUUUGGCACGAUUCGGGCGCGGCGAGCGGGCCGCCGAACGAACAGCACCUCCCCUGUCCGCCCAAGGCUCACAACAAGAAUGUGUACAAGAAUUUCCCAGGAAUUUAAAUUCUAAACAUACUCAUUCAACGGGGCACGAAUAGUGCCAGCAACUACAAGAGCAAGUAAUCCGCAAGUAGAAACAAGUGAAAUAAAGAGAGUACUUUACUAACUAUUAUAAUGAUUCAUUUACAUCAUUUUCUUUAAAUGCUUACAUCAUUCAUCCAAAAAACAUAGCUCUCCAAAUCCUCACUUACAAUGAUUCUCUCUCAAUACAUAGGUGUGCUAAUGCAAAAAACAAAGCUACUAUACUACCACGGUCUCACUGAUCAGGCGCGAUGCCCUUACCGCGGUCCUCCCUCGGCAGCCCUUUACCUACCACUGAAAAUAGAGUGGGGUGAGAACUAUCUUCCAUAGUUCCCAGUGGGCUCGGCCGCCGACUCUGCCGAUCUCCCCACUAGGUCCAAGUGGGCACAAGUAACAACAGAUACAUAGAUAGAUAUGUAUCUGAAAACUGUAAAUGCGAUAGUAGGAAAAACUAUGCAACUAUGCCCAUAAUCAUGAAUAUGAAUGCAUGCAUCAUAUAAUAAAGGUUUGCUACCAUGCUAACAAAUUCGAUCCAUGUUCGAAUAGCAAUGUUCAAUGACAUUAUUAAACCUUUACUCUUUCCAUUUACCCAAUCUGUGGCGAGGCCCUAGGGCUCGCCUAUAACUCACCCUUCAAUCCCAAAGUGGGGAGGGAGCUCCAAGUGCACCCAAGCGCGGGACCGUCUGCGGACCUCCAUGUGGUCCGGACCUCCAAGUGGUCCUAGUCGCGCGACACUCUGGAGUACUCGACGAAAAUCCCCUCCAUGUGGGGAUAGGAUGGCUAUACCACCCCAAACGCAGACUGUGAGCUAGAUCUAUUCUCUCCAAGUGAGGAUGCCCCUACAUCUAGGGUCAACAACCCAAUUAAGCCCUCUCCAAGUGAGGAUGCUCUACAACUAGAGUCAAUACCCAAUCGAAUCCUCUCCAAGUGAGGAUGCCCUACAAUUAGGGUCAAUGUCUCAAUCGACUCAUCGACAACCUCUCCACGUGAGGUCACUUAGGUUUACUAAGUUCUUUAUCCACAAUGCAUUUUCUAAGGGAUUCAUCUAUCCCUAGGUUUUCAAACUUCUAGUGUUAUUUACACUACAUUAAUGCCACUCGUCAUCAUUUAACAUUUGGAUGCCAUUCGUUUGUUCUUUGACAUUACCACUACUUUUUAUGUCAUCAACACCCCCAUCGGGUACAUCUCUUUCUUUCACAUUAUAGGAUCCACGUUCCGACCCAAUCCUCACCUAUCUAAGUCACCAAGCGUUCCAAGUAAACUAGGUUAUCAUUUAGAAAGCAUAAGGAAUGGAGCUACUAUGCAAUCCUACAAUGCAACAUGUAGAGAUGAGAUUAAAUGUAAUCUAAGACAUAGAAAGAAGUUCGAAAGCUUCGGGAUGGCACCCCCCACCUUUAAUCGAUGUAGAGGCUUUGGAAAUUUUUCUCGGCGAACCUUACGAAAAGGCUUUAGCCUUCCUUGCCCAAAUCGACACAAACCCGGCCCUAUUUUGCCGAGAACUUCACGCCGGCUCGCCGAAUGCUAAAACCGACUUCGCCCCCACGUUUUGUGACCUAACAAUAGGAUUUCCAAGGUUUCAAAUGAGAUCAAUCUCAUACUUUCACAAAAACCCCAUUUUGGAGCCCUAGGUUUGCACCCAUAGCAAACCACCAAUAAAUCCCUAGAUUCAUGGGAUUGAUCUACUUAGAAGCAUGCUUAGGGUCCAUUUGACCCAUUUCAAAGCAUAAAAAUCCAAAACCCCAAAUUCUAGAAGCUAGGGUUCAAGAGCUUACCUCUUGUGCUACACUAAAAAGAAGAGGAGAGGGAGAUGAAGGUGUCCAAGGCCUUCCUCUUAAUCUCCUUCUUCUUCUCCUUCUUGUUCUUUUUCUUCCUUUCCUUCCUUUCCUUCCUUUCCUUCUUGUUCUUCUUCUUCUCCUUUCCUUUCUAGAAAGAGAGAGAGAGCAAGAGAGAAGGAGAGUGUGAGAGAGGGAAAGAGAUGAGAGGGAGCUGAGGGAGAGGGUUAUUUCCCAUAUACACCCCUCACAUGAUGGCCAUUUUGCACUUAAAUCCCUCAACUAUUCACUUCUCAAGCGGCUGUUACUGGGCUGUUUUUGCCCAGAGGGACCAGUCCCUGGUCGGGGAGACCGGUCCCCGAGAGCCCUCCCAGCGGCCUGGGGACUUUUCGCGUACGGGAACCGGUCCUCACCCGAGGGACCGGUCCCUGGGAGACCGGUCUUUCCUGAGAGACCGGUUCCCAAAAAGGAACUUUCAGGACUUAGCCAAAUUUUGGCUUCCUCUCGCAGGUGUCGCACACGGGGACCGGUCCCCUCAGUCAGGGACCGGUUGCAUCGACCUCCCCCGCGACCAUCAGCUACGGGGACCGGUCCUCCUUUCCAGGGACCGGUCCCUGAGAGCAAAAAUCUGCUGAGUCCAGAUUUUGCCUAUUUGCUCUCGCGGACUCAACUCCAAAGCACUUUUUGUGUUUUGGACAUUUUCAACUCCCACAAAGGGUAUUCUCUCGACAGUUAGUCGAUCCUGGAUGAAGUACAAUUUUCGGAUUUCGAGAAUUCACUUCCUUACAGAACACUUCUCUUACACUUUAUUUAAGAGAUUUGUAAGAAAUUUGAGAGAAAACCUAGUUUUUGAAAAACUAGAGUUAUUUUGGGGUUUUCCUAUUAUGAGCUUUUGGAAUGGAAUUGAUGAGUGUAGAACACUCUUAUAGGUUAGAUUUGAAGCUUCCUAGCUUCGAUUUGGACUUUGGACAAGUUCCACAUAGCCAAAGGUAAUUUUCACCUAUUUUAUGCUUGAUUUUUGGUGAAUUUUGUUUGAUGUUCGUUCGAAGCUCGUAAUCCUUUGGAAAUUUUUCUUAGGGUGCUAGAAGUUUGGAGGGUAACUUAGUUCUAAAGAAUGAAAAGGGUUCGAGGAGUAUCCGGUGGGUUUGAUCUCAUCGAAAUGGAUGAACUCCCCCUAUGUGACACACUGGACCUUUGCAAAUUGCGAGGUUCGAGUGUUUGAUCUAUGUUUCGAGUUUUUUCGAAUAUUCUGGAGGGUCGUUGACAGUGUUCCGACCUAUGGCUCGUACCCCGAGAAUUGAAGUAUUUAAAGUAACGCUAAGGUCACUAAAGUGGAGGACUUAAGCUGCUCUCGGAUUGCAUUUUGCAGAGCUGUGUACCGGUACACCUUGAUGGUUCUACCGGUACAGAAAGUGUACCGGUUACACGUUGAUGGUUGUACCGGUACAGAUGGGUAUUUCUGCUAACCCGAGGCUCGGGUUUGCUGUCUGGCUGGAUUUGUACCGGUACACUUUUUCGUGUACCGGUACACUUUGCAGUCCGCAGACUGCUUGAACUGGGAUGGUGUUUUUGCAAUUGUGGCUUACCUAUAAAUACCCCCCACAGCCCAUUGAGGCUCUCUUGAGCCUCAAACCAUGGGGAAGAGAAGGUAGGGUCCCUCUCUUGGAUUUUCCUCAUUUUUCUUGCAUUUUGCAUGGUUUGAUCUCCUCCCUUUUGCUUUUCCAUGCUCUAUGUUGGGAUUCCACCAUGGGAGAAGCUUGAAGCUUUUGUUGGAGCUCUUUUGGAGGAAGAUCUUCAACCUUGGAGGACUUGAAGCCUUGUUGGGAGCUUCAUUUGAGGUUGGUAGGCUUAAUCCCCUCUUUGCUUAUUGUUUUGGUAGAUUCUACUAAAUGAAACACUAGAUUUGGAAAUUAGGGUUUAUUUUGGGGAUUUUGGAUUUGAGGCUUUUGGAACCAAAUUGAUUGGUUUAGAACCUUUGUUUAGGUUGGAUUAGAGGGCCUCUAACUCCCUUUUGGAGAUCGAGAGAGGUUUCUUCGCAUCCGGUGAGUUUUUACCCCUUUUUUUUUUGAGUUGCUGAAAGAUCGAACUUAGGAUUGUUCGUAAUGUUCGUGUAUCUCUCUUUUCCUUACCCUUAGGGAGCUAAGAAAGUAGUGGGCACCUUCGUCGGCGCGAACGAAGGGCCACGAGGAGUUUCGGUGGGUUUGACUUCAUCGAAAAUAGCAGAACUCCACUUUUGUUAACUUUUAAUUAUCGUAAAAUUGAAAUGCAUGCAUAUUCAUGCUAGAUAGAGCCUACGAGUUAUUUAAAAUGCUUAAAAUACAUGUGUUAUAUUUAUAAAAAUUACCUCUAUAUAGUAGAGAGAUAUACGCAUUGUUGGCAUGCAUGAGAAUAGCAUUCUAGUAUACGGUUUGGGGUCAUGUUCCUUACAAUGAAAUGACUAGAAUAAUAGGCUCUGGGACCUAAAACUUAUGUUGGACAUAGUGGACAAAAUGCCAUAAAGAGGCAUUUGACUUAGCAACAUUUGCAUCAUAACAUUGUAUUUGUUGUAGACAAGUUAGUUGUGAUAAUAUGACGUGGAACAUAGUAAAAUUAUGCUGAAGCUAAACUUGAUGUAUUUAACCUAGUGGGUCAACUAGAACUCCACACGUGACAUGGUAACUUAAUGCUUGAGUUAGUAGGACAACUAGUAUGUGAUAUAGUGAUAUUGCUUACGAUCUAGAGAUCGGUAAUUGCAUUCCAUGUAGUUGACAUAAGGGUAGCGAAUGGAACGCCCUUGGGCAAAUGACAAGUUGAACAAUUGUAUGUGGCAUUAAUUGAAUGAAGCACUUGCAUGAUAGUUUAAUACUCCAAGAAGUGGAGGCAUUGGUAGAAAGAUAUAUGCAUGGCAUGCAUCAUGAACAUUGUGACUAUCUUGCAGUACUUAUGCAUAUGACAAAAAAGUGACAUCCCUAGCUAUAGUGGAAUAGUCUAAGCAUGAACUCUCAUUGAGACUUGAGCAAUAGUGAACUAUUCUAAAUAGGAUACUGAUAAGGGUUGUAGGCAUAUGAGCUAGUGACUUUUACAUAACAUAGUAAACAUGAACGUUAUGUAGUGACAUUUGGGUUAGUGAUCGACAACCUUGACAUUAUGGUACUUUACUAGACCUUUGGGGUCGUUGCUACUUAUUCCAUAUUUUAGACAUGAUGACCGAGAGCUGGAUACUAUUGAUCAUGCUUGCUUGCCAUUGUGCUCAUUCGCACAUGCUUGUGAGGGUCGCUUCCUACAAGCCGGUACUCCGGAGGUAGCCUACGCGACACAAGCUCGCCCGUGCGGGAUUGGGUGCCGAAAUGGGAUGCCGUGGGGGAGGCUCAUUGUAGUACACUGAACUCUGACAAAUUACGAAGUUCGAGUGUUGGAAUAGUAAUUGGAACUAUUCAACAACUUUUGAAGGACUGUCGAGAGGUUUCAGCAAGUUAGUGGAGCGAGCGGAUAGCUGGAAGUGGAAAAGUGCAUUGCAAAUGCACUAUUCCAAUGUAGCAUGCGGAAUUGGGUUGAUUAUGAAGUUUGAGGAGUGGAAUGGGUAAUGAGAGCUAAUCCACAUCUUUUAAAGAGUGGUAGAAAGGUUUUUGACAAGUUACAAGAGUGAUCGAGCCACCAAAAGAUCGAAAGUGCAUUGGGAAUUCGAAUUGCAGAAAUUUGCAUAGUGCAACGGUACAACCAUCAUUGUGUACCGGUACACAGCACAGACUGCUGCGUGGCAGCAAGGUCCUUUUGGUCUUUUGGUAUUCAAUCCUUAUCCUUAUCACCCAGCACGACUCCUACAGCUGGUGAGGAUAUGUUUGAGCUUAGGGAACCUGGGGGGAGCUUUUCUCUUUCUCUCUCUAGGGUUUGGAGGAUUUUGAGAAGCAUAAUAGUGGAUUUUGAGUUCAUUUCUUUCCUCUCUUGUAGCUGGCUGAUUGGGAGUUGUUGAGUGUUGUUAGAGAGAGGAGUUGGAAGUAUUUCUUGCAGCCUGGUUCAGUUAGAAGCAGAGUCAUAAACCUGGUAAGGCAGGAAAUCCAACAUCUCUCUAUUUUGGUGCUAUAAUAGUGAUUUGUGCAUGUUUUCUCCCUUUCGUUGGUUGUUGACUGAUCCGAAUACUUGGGGGGCAGCUCUUGGUGCGUGGGAAGUGUGGUUUAGCCGUGUUCCCUCGACCCUAGUUCAGGAAUUAACUAGGAUUAAAGCUUCAAUUCGUGAGCAAACUAAUUAUUCUCUAGUUUAGUACUAUAGUAGAGGAUUUGAUUUCAUUCUCUGUUCUUGCUGCCAGUUGACUUGAGAAGAGCUUACAGCGGCCAUAGAAAGAGUAUUAUGGGCUCAUAGUUUAUCAAUUUUAAUCCAGGAUAAAGCUGAAUUGAGAUUUUAAGAAUGGUAAUUAGCUAGCUGAUUGCCUUGUAUUGAAGCUAUAAUAGGUUCUGGGGAAGUAUUAAUGUUUUUUUUUCAGUAUGUGUUCCAGCAACCUUGGAAUUCUUGUUGAGCUGAAUCUUGGGACUUUUGUAAGCUGGUUUUGAAGUGUGUUAACCAGGGGUUGAGCUGAACUAAAUCGGUUAGAAGGUAAAUUGCUUACCAACUCACUAGUUGAUAAAAUUGGUUGUACCUCUAAUGCAGUUUUCAUGCAAUUGCCGCAUACUUGCAGCAGGUUCGCAGUAAGCCGUUUGAUCUUGUUUGAUUGAGUUUUUGGAAACUUUUAAAGGCUGCAGUGAUGCUCCAAUCUCGACAAAAAUGAGGAAUUAAACGUUGAUACUGUACUGAGUAAGAUUCUAGCCUAAAUUAUGUAAAUGUGUGAGCUUUACGUAUAGGGAUUAAAGUUAAGUUUCUAGCUUGUGAGAUAUCGAGAUUCGACGAUAUUGGCUAACUUUGGCCAAAUGGGUCAAAGUGGGCGAUUGAGCGGUUUGGACAAGUUCCAUUCGGCAUUCCAACAAGUUGGGAAGAGCAAAAAAUGAGUUCUAAAGGUGUUGGAAUGGUUUUGACAUCGAUCGGCGCGAAGUGGAGCCGAAUCAGAGUGAAAACAACAUUCUGGAGCUGCUGUACCGGUACAAGGAUGAUGGCUGUACCGGUACAGCCAUCGCAGCUCUCGGGUUUUGGAGGGCUCCACGUGCUGUACCGGUACAAGGGGCUUGUACCGGUACAAACCCGACGAAACCGAGACCCGAGCUCUCGGGUUUACGCUCGGUUUGGCUGUCACCCAGGCCUUGUACCGGUACAAGAACCCGUGUACCGGUACAAGGGCACCCGAACAGCAGGAUCAGUUUGGAAAAUAGAAAAGUAGAGGGGCUUUUUGAGAUAUUGUUACAAUAGAGGACUUAAGCCUCUCUCUCUCAGCCAUUCUCUCCCACUCCCUCACUCUCUCUCUCUCUAUCCCUUUUAUUUAGCUCUCUCUCUAUCCCUCUCAUUUAGCUCUCUCUCUCUCUCUAACCGUGAGAAGAAGAAAAAAAGGAGAAGAAGAAAGAAGGAGAGAAAGAAAGAGAAGAAGAAGGAGAAAGGAAGAAGAAGGUCAAGGAGAAGAAGAAGAAGCUCUUCCUCCUCCUCAUUCUCAGCUAGGGCUUGCUUUGGAGCAAACCCUAGAGGUAAGCCUUAACCCUAACAUUGGAUUUCUAGGGUUUGAGGGUUUUUGGUUGGUUUUGAUGGUUCAAAUGGAACCUAAUGAGCUUAGAGAAUAUGGAUUUAGCUCACAAUGAAGCUAGAAACCAUUACUUCCCAUGGGUGCUAAACCUAGGGCUUGAUUUUGGUAUUUUUGAAAAUAUGAGGGAUUGAUCUCUUUUGAUGGGUUAGAAACCUAAUUUCUAUGCUUCCAAACGCGUAGGCGAAGACGGUUCGUCGAUCCGUCGAGCGAGUGCGGAGAUAUAGCCGAUUUGGGUGCUCUAGGGUUCGUUUUGACCCGAGGUGUUGAAACGGCGCACGUGGACCGCGACGCCGAGUUUCUUAGCUCUACGGUACUACCACAAGGUGGGUGGUGACCAUCUCGAAGCAAUCGGGCUACCUUCUAUGUCUAAGUUUAAUAUCGAUCUAUUUGCAUAUUGUGCAUAUCCAUAUAGGGCUAGAGAUAGAUGUUAUUGCUUAUACUUGCAUGCUAGUAGCUCAAUAUAUCUUGCUUGGUUGGUUCAUGAUCUAGUAUGCAUGAUGAUUAUAUGAUGAAAACUUUAUGAUAAAGACCUAGACCCUAUGUGAGAUGAUUAAUGCUUAUGUUGCUAAAGAACUAGUAUGAUGUAACUAGUGUUCAUGAUGAGUCUAAAUGACGAGUGGCAUCUAGUUAGAAAACUAUGAUGAGUGGCAUAUGAUUGUUGAUGACCUUGANNNNNNNNNNNNNNNNNNNNNNNNNNNNNNNNNNNNNNNNNNNNNNNNNNNNNNNNNNNNNNNNNNNNNNNNNNNNNNNNNNNNNNNNNNNNNNNNNNNNCUCCUUUGUGCUUCUGCUAGGUUUUGUCUUACCUUCCUCACAUGAUUCGCCCUACCUUCCGCCGUGACUACUGGCUGUUGCUUUCGCCGUUUGGGGAUUGGAGAUUAGGCUGGUUCAACUUGUUAUAUGCCGGUACUGAUGUUCACAGAUGUGUGCUUAACCUGGGGCCCCCAGAGGGGUAAUUAAUCAGAAAGAUGAAAAUGGCUUUCAUUCGACUUCCACACAGGAAUGCGCGAGCCAGCUGGCGAAGAAGUCAGACCAACCCCCGAAAGACAUAAGCUCAGGCAUUCUAUCUAAUCUCUGCUGGUUCAGUUCCUCAUUAUCCCAUUGGUUGGGUCGGUCCUCAAACAUGUUCAGAUAGACGCGACCGUCGCUACUAUACUAAGUAAGGGAACAUCCGCACAUCAAGCUAAGAUGACUCUGAAGGAGGUUGUUCUCGGAACUUCAUUAUUUGAGUGAAAGGGUAGGGGAAAGAGGAUUUUCUAGUUCGAAAGGGGAACCAGUCUUUCUUUAUCCCAGUGUCGGUGGAAGAGAACAAUUGCUUGUUUGAAGUUCAGCCUUAGCCUUAAAGAGAGAAUUCGCAUUUAUCGUAAGCUUUCCUUUUGCCUUUGAAUGGAUUUUCCGUAUUGCAAAAAGAAGUAAGGUCGAGCAGCACUAGUUCCGACCGAGAAGCAGAUCCCAGCUUAGUAUCAGCAUAGGUAGCGGCACAGUACCUGUUAUGGAGGAGCAGUCCAGCCAGGCCGAGAACGAAGCAGGUCAGAAAAGAAGAUCUUCUUUCCGGAGCCGCCAAGCCAGUCCAGUAAGCAAGCACAAGUAGCAGUUCUAUCAGGAAAGGGAGGCGCUUCAAAGAAGCUAUAUCUCUAUUCUCGACAGCCUCUGGCGCCUCGCUUAUGCACGUAACAAUCCGCAGAAAAUGUCAAAUAGACUUCGCCCCGAUGCCAAUUCGAAGAAGAGUUGCAAGGAACCUUAUCAGAUUGGGGACUCGGCACCUUGGUCAUUGUCCUAUAGUAUAGAGAGAAAGAAAAAAAAAAAAAGGCCCAUCUUUUCCAUUGCUCUGUACUUUGGAUCUGGAAGAAUGGAUGGGCAAAUCAAUGGCUGACCUUGGCCGGCAUAGUGUCCCUCAUGAAAUCCAAACUUUCGGCCAUGGUAAUCUAUAGAGCCUCGAUCCUGUCUAUUCCAAAGACUUUGGCUGAGCAGAAUGAUCAGAAAGUUUUUUUGGGCCAUUUUCGCUAAUCGGGAAAAAGAAAGUGACAAAAAGCCAUUCGAAACAUGGGCAAACAAACAAAGCACUAUCUGCCAAGCUGUUAUGGAGAUUGAAACCAGAGGAGAGCGUUGGAGAGAAAUACUGAUUUGGAUGCCAAAAAAAAAAGCUCUGGCAUUGAAAGCAGAACCAACCUUUUCGGGAUCUCCUGUCUGGAAUAAUAUACUUCAAUAGGACUUAUUACGGAGUCCACAACGUGGAUACCAGGGAACAGUAGAAGCAUUGAACGGUUUUUGACCCAGCCAGCAGUACCAGAUUGUUGACUGGUGGCAUUGCACUACUCUCACUCUUCGUUGACAACUCAGCGAAUGAGCCUAUGUACGUACGUACGCUGUACGCUCGCUAGGAAAAAUAGAUAGGUCAAGGACAGGAUAAGGGUGACGAGAGCGUAGAACGAGACCCCCAACCAAUGACACUCUUUCCUAUCCCUAUCCCGGUCACGGGGCUUGUUGCGCAAUUGCUUCUUCUUCCUCUAGACCCCUGGGGGAUUUCUCUUUCUUCCUUGCCACUCUUAGCAAGCUGCUUUAACGCGAGUCUUUCCUUAAGAUGAAGAAGUGGAUAAGACGAGAUGUGCACUGUUCGCAGUCUUCUCUCGCCCGUCACUGGAGAAGCAGAUCCACAACCAGAACCAGAAGCAGGGAUCCGGGAAGACAACCCAAGCGUCAGAAGCAAGACUUAAUUUUUGCUUUCCUUGAUCAACUGGCCGUCAAUCCUUUCUUCGACCUCAAGAGAUUGAACAAAGAAGCCCCAUUGAUUGGAUAUGGUUCCAUCUCCCAGUGGUGAGCAAAGAACAGCCCCCCGGUCCGGUGGUCUAGCCUUGUCAAAAUGGCUGCAACAUCAUGACUUUCGGGAUGAUGCUGACGCUACAAGUACAAGUCCGCCUUCGAGGUGCGUGCCUUUCAAGCCCUUCUUUCCAUAGUGCUUCUUCCCAUUGAGCUUUCUCUAGCCUCACCGGAAUGUGGUUGUGUACAGCAAUCGAGAACCAGUGGAAUCAGUGAUAAAAUGCACUAGUCAAAACCCUUCUUCAACCUUUGGUCCUCAAGGUGGGGAAGAGGACCGAACGGAACCUUAGUGGCUGGGAAAGAGAGAUCCCGCGGAGAAGAAAAAUGGGAUUAUCUUCCGAUUCUGAAAAAGGCAAAAAUAGGGGCAAAGUCAACCUAACCGCUUACCUUUUCGUAAGCCGCGCACUUUAGGCCAGGCCCCUUACUAUAACCAACCUCACUGAUCCCACUCAAUCUUUUACACCGAUGUUUCGUACUCUCUCGACCAGGUCAUCAUAAGAAAAUACUGCAAAAUCUUUCCGAAAUGAGAGAAGGAGGGAAGGCGCGCUAGCGCGCUACAACUAACAGCCUGCUGAAAAACGCAAGAUUAGCGCUAAGAAGCAACCCUUGUUUAAGUACUAGGGUCCCAGCCCAACGUUGUUGUACUUGACUUGACUCUCCCCCGCUUGCUGCUCGCCUCAGCCAGACGUGGCUUAUGUAGUGGUCGGCAUUCAAUCGUGCUCCGACUGAUGGGCCCCCCACUGGAGAAAGGUUGAGGGGUCACCUUUGGAAACUGUCGUGACGCUUUGGUGACGAAGGUCACCGGGGUUCAAUUGGAUGGAUUCCGUGGUCGUCUCUGACUCCCGGAAACUCAAUCAAUAUCAAGAACAUGUCGUGACCAUGACGGUUAGGCUUGGUUGAGUUUGUAAGAAAAGCAUAGUAGGUUGAGGGGCUUCAUUGAUUAGUAAACCUAUGGUGCUGGUAAGGUCGGGACCGUGGUCGUCCGUCUCCGGUUUGCCGGCCGAUAAGAUCACUGAGAUUGACCAGCCAGCUGGGUUGGUUUGGCUAUUCCUUUCUAUUGAAAAGGAGUCAGCUGUCUGCGCGAGUCACCUUCCUUAGGCUCCGAGUCACCUUCUUCUAAGCUCUGCUGGACGACACGGCAUUCUCGUUCUAUAGGCCGGCCGUACUUGUGAUGGUUCCCCAGGAUCCAAUAAACCCACUUAGGUCUACGUUGCCACGAUAUUGUUCUAUGGAAGCGGGCGGGCUGCUUUUUAGAAGUUCGGCCCGGUUUUUCAUUUUUUUACUAAAAAAGGGGGGGAGGGAUUGACCUUUCUAACGCAUAUUCUGUCGUACCGGCAUGGCCCCAAAGAUUUGUUUUCGAUCGGAGCAUCAAGCAGCGCAACCCGGUUCUACUUGACUAAGCCCCGUGCUCGUCCAAGGAGGGAGUUUGCUUUACCCAACUCCCCUUUUUGAUAACAAGGCAGAAACCUCCGACCCGACAUUCAUGAGUUUCGAAUGAAGAGUGCCCCUCUUUUUUCUUCCCUAAAUCUUGGAUUUUUAAGUUGGUAAAGACCCACCCCUUGUUUAAGUCAGAAUGAGUCCCCGAGACAUUGGCUUCCGCCAACAGUGAACUAUUAAGGAUCGCAUCCCGCGCAUAUUCUACAUUAUAGCCUGCAACUGAUUCCGCUUCCGCUUCUGGGAGAUCAGACGGAGCUCGAUUAGUUUCUGCUAGACGAGGAAUAAGGAACAUAACCAAUACGGGGAACAAGGGAAUACCGGACCAUAUCUGCUUUUGCGCCAUGACAAUCUCACUCGAAUUACAGGGACCUACACAUAUUAGUACAGUAUACCGGGGUCCCCGGCCAGAACCACACGUGCAAGUUUCCCUGCAUGUGGCUCGUCCGUGCUUUUUUCCGAGGCGCUGCCUGUGACUCCGCAUGGGAGAAGAGGGCUGAACUGCAAACUUUCGUGUUCAGAGCAUUGCAUUGUCUAAGGGAGUAGGGUGAGUAAGCAGCGCCUACCAAGCUAAGCUUUCGUCGAAAAGGCCUCACUGCUUCCUUUUCGGCGCCCGCCCUUUAUUUAGAUGUUGGGGCAAGGCAAGCCUGGCUCCCAGCUCCAUCUCGGCCGGCAUCCAGCUCUCGAGAGGGUGUGGUCCUUGAGCGAACAACUCAUGUGCUGUGUUGCCCCAACCCAAGGGCAUUUGGUGAGGAGCUACGGUCCGGUGGUUGACAAGCCACUGAUCGGAGGCGACUGGAGUGCUUUCAUCAAAUGAUGCAUGUGGGCUGAGCCAUUCCCAUCCCAAGUGGUGGCCCGAUUCGGCCUGGCCUGGUCGGGAAGAGAUUCUCAAUCUCGAAUAUGCGCACCGAGAAUAGAUAUCUAUGUUAGCUAGCGGGGGCGGGCUUUCCUCUGGUAGUCCCGCUGCGGCCUCUGACAGUCCGUCCCCUCUCAUCUUUCUUUGGCUAUACUUGUAGCCAGCCAUAUGAGCUCCACAUUCAACCCUUUUUCUAUUGUUGACUAAAAAGGCACUCAUCAGUCGCCCCCUUUCCUAUUCAGCUUUGCUUGCCGCCUAUUAAGAGAAUAGGUCCCGGUUCAAGCGGCCCGCCUUUCAUCAUCAUCUAUACCAGCUGCCACGCACGACCCCAAUUGAACGAUUUCUGCGCCAACAGAAGCAGAACGCGCCAUCACCUACAGCCCUUUCCUCUGCCGGGGACUUCCACGAAAUGAAAACGGGCGGCAUCGUCGUAUGCUCGACAUUAGUUGCCCUGGUGUAUAUCCCGGAGUACUCCUAUGGCCGAUCUGUCACCCAUACAUUCAGGGCUUGGCCCCGUCCCGUGUGGAGAAUGCCCCCCUUACUUACGGCAGGGCUUAGUCAGUUAUUUUCUUUUGUCAGAGUGGAUUCGGACCGCCACUUCUCUGAAAGCAUGGUUCUUGCCUCCCUCUCUCCUCCCUCCUUUGAGCUCGUCCAUUCGUUGGGUGAUCCCUUGCUCUCACGUUCGAGUGUUUGCUCGUCGUUUAGGCCGGUGAGUGACAUUUCUGCUCAUUGCAGUCACCUCCGGGGUUCUUCGCACCUGGGUAGUACCAGGACCCUUGUGCCCCGGACUGCACUGCCCGCCCUAUGACCCAAAACUCAAAAUGAGCCUUGCGACGAGACGCGGACAUUCCUCAUGCUGCGGUUCCCUCCGGUCCGUUCCCGGGUUGGGUUAGGGGAAGAUCCGAGCGAUUGCCUUCGCGGAUCCAAACGUGCUCACAAGGCGCACAAUAAGAAUAAGACCAAUAGAGACUUCAUAAGGGACCAUUUGAGCUGCAGAUCGUAAUGCUCCUAGAAAGGCAUAUUUCGAAUAUAGAGGACGUUCCCAACAAUCCACGAGAAUAUAAUACCCAACUAUGAACCGUACGAGCACGUCCUCUGUCACCCCCACCGCGCUUACGGCUCUAUACCCCAACCCAACUUGCUCUGGCCCCGGGUCCUACCGCAUCUCUUCCUCGGUAAGCGGACCCUGGAAGCAGGGGGGGUAUCCGCUUGGGACUGAUAGAAAGCAGCAUAUCUAUUUUGUCCCUCCUGACCGAACCCGCCUAGAAAAUCAAAAUAGUUGAAGUCCGGUCGCGUCGGAGACAUCUUUAUCUGAUUAUGAGGCUUCGUCGUCCGGCUCCUCAUAAAUUAUGUUAGGAUCGGCCGGCUCAUCCUCGGAAUCCGAAAAGAAAACAGAGACAGAACAGAUUUGUUUCAAUGACAUAUCUAAUCAGACUGAAUAGGAUGUCGAAGACACGAUCAUUCACAUCAAUUUCAGCAGGCAGGAAGGGCGCGGAAGCUACCGUUUAACGAAUGCAAUGCAAGCAAGGUAGCUUGCUUACUCUCCGUAACGCGUGCGUUGGCGGCAAGGAAGGAGGCAUUGGAAAGACUAGACCAUACACAUUAAUUAGUACAAGAAAGAGGCAUUCGGGAAGCGAGACCUCGCUUCUGGCGAAGCUUAACGAAGGCCGACCACUACAUAGAGACAACUACCAGUCAUGAGCAAUAGUGAAGCCGUCAGAGGCGGAAGCAGUCGCUUGACGGACGAAGCCGAGCCGAUACGAUAGGCGGGGGGAGGGGGGGGGGCCAAGACGAGCCAAGCUAGCAGAAAAAGCUCCAAAACAUCCCAGUUUUAUAUCAACUUCUAACAGCUUUUUUUAAUGUUCUAUUAUUUCUUCAAGUUGCGUAUCUCUAUCACUUGCUGCUCCUUUACUUUUACAAAAUAGUAUGAGAGCGAUCUAAACCAACUUUUACGGCCCUUCAGUGGUUAUGCUUAUAUUUAUUGUUUCAGUUUUUACUGUUAUAUCUAAAUUGGUCCAACCGAUGAGAAAAGCACGACAUGACAUUAAAGCUGAAUGAACCAUUUAAUCAGAGCAUAAGAAUACCGUUCUACAUCAUAAGAACAAAACCUGCUUAAACCAAUACAGGAUGAGGAUUGACUGCUUCAUAUGAAUAAAUUUACAAUGGAGACACAUAUUUAAGACAUCAAGACAAUCAAGAAAGCGGAGCAAUAUUUCUUUCUUAGAGGAAAUCGAAGUUAAACGUCAAAGCAUCAAAUCAAUAGCUUUAAUUUAUUUAAAGAGUCUCCUUUUCCUUUGAUUUGUAAUCAUUACGAACAAACAAGAUGAAUAUAACAGAUCAGAAGAUUAAAUUAAGCAAGAGGAAUCAUAAUACAUAAGACAAAACAUUAACCAAUCGAGCACAAAAGAAUCUAUAAACACAAAUCACUGGAGAAAUGGAAGACACAGAAUAAGUAAACAAUAAUAACACAACACAUGACAUCAAGCGAUCACUGCGAGCAAAGAGAGAGAGAGAGAGAGAGAGAGAACAGGGAACUCACCGAUCGAGUUCGUAGAGGUCGAAGCUCUGAAGGUAGCACCGUGGGCGACCGGUUCUUCGCGAUCGGCGCCGCGGCGCCGUUCUCUACCGCAUUCCGACCAGAUCCCGAGCCCCGGGCUCGGCCCGCUCACACGCGCAUCCAACGAUGCCCGGAUCACCACUCGGACCGCGCGCCCUAAACUAGAUCCCGCGCGGUUGCUUCAGAUACAGCAUCUCUCCCGUCCCCCGCUGUUCUCCUCUCUCCUCCUCCUCUCCUCCUCACCACUAUCUCAAUCUUCUCCUCCAUCAAAACACCUCCAAAUCGAGCACAAAAUGGCGAACAACAGAUCGGGAAGCGAGGGGGAGGUCGUCACCUCUACCGCUCGUCGCGACUCGGAUCUCCCGAUCGAGGAGACGCGGCGACGGAUCGAGCGAAAACAGAAUUUCUCAACUGAGAAUGUGGCCUCUCGAUUUCGCCCUAGAAAUUCGGUCUAUUUCGCUAGAUUAGGGUUCGAUAUUGGGGGAAUUGGGGUGGCUGGUCGGGGUUGCGGGGUGGAGGAGAGGUUCGAGAGAGAGCGAAGCGAAGCCACAGACUCAAUCACACAAAAACACCCGACGACAGUUGAGAGGGACGGGGCAAAAAAGAAAAUAGAAAACAUAAUAAUAAAUAAAAUUAUACAUUUAUAUAUAUUUUUAUAUUAUAUUAUUAUGAUUAAAUAAUAUAUCUGGGGUCAAAUGUACCAUAGUUCUUUACUAUUCAAAUUUGCUUAUUUGGUCCCUAUAUAUAAUAUAUUUUANNNNNNNNNNNNNNNNNNNNNNNNNAGGACGUGGAGUGGCGAAGGGGGCCUACUAUACGUAUACGUAAUUUGUAACCUACUAAGAAAAAAAAAAAAAAGUGAACUAUUGAACAGUGUGAUUGAUCAGACAAGUACCAAGGGCUUUCGGUAGCCUUCUUUCUUUCCGAAUUUGCUUGCGAACAGUCCUUGCAUUAGUAUGAGUUCGUUGACCGCGUAAGGGCGAUCCAUCUUGAUGACGAAUUCCACGAUAACGAGAAAUAGAAAUUAAUCGUUCGAUGUCUGCUGUUCUCCCCUCUUCAUUCACAUGAACAAGAUGAUCUUGACCUAUCAUUUGUUCAAUUUGGUCGAUCUGAUACUUAGUUAACUCAUUCAUCUUGAUGUUCCCACUGAUACCUAAUCGAUAACGAAGCUGAAUGGCUUUUUUAGGUCCAAUUCCAUCCAUUUUUGUUGAGGCAAUUCUGACUUGUUCAUCGGGAAGUGAUCUAGCUCCUGAGAUAUAUGACAUUCUUAUCCUUCUCUUUCCUGGUCUUCUCGGCUGGAAUCUACAAUGGUUGUCUCCCUCUACUCCCGAACCAAAGACUAUAUCACUCGAGCGCCAGCAUUUCUCUUGACUAUCAAGAUCAUAGAUCACCCCUACCCUAACUAACUAUAGCUUCCAGUACUCUAACAUAGAAGAGCUAUUUCUUUGAUUCUUCCGUGGAUAAGAGUGCCGUUCAAGUGUCCUUCCCAACAUUCCGUAUAGGCGAGAAGGAGCCCGCCUUUAUCCGACUUUCUUUAUCUAUGAUAAGAGAAUAGAUAGAUAUUUUCUCUUAUUUUUCUCUUGUUUUUUUAUUUUAGGCUUUGCCUGUGUGAUCUAUUGUUUUCAAUGUAUUGUUACCUUUUUGUUAUUCUCAAUCUUCCGGGUCUUGCUCUGACUACUGGGGACCCGCACUGAGAGGGUUUUGCUUUCACACGGAAAAAGAAGAAGAUUGAUUGUUGUAUUUUUUGGUUUCCUUUGAGUCACUGCACUUCACAUUUUUGUGGACUCCUUUCACAACAAUAGAAAGAUCAAAUGAAUGCAAAAAGAUGUUCAUAAGCACCGGCGUCUGCUCGUCUGGGCAAGGGUUGUUUAGCCUCUGACGCUUCUGCCACUUUAGAUUCAUAGGCUUUCCUCAUUUUCUUAAGGUCUGGCUUUUGCCUUGGUUGAUGGUGCGGCUUUCAUUAACACUUCGGGCUUUUUCAGUACAGCUCCUUUUAUCUCAAAUUACUCGUAGCACGGCACAUCUUUCAUUCUAUUAAAUACCAAUAAAAACCAAACCAACAACGGGAGUCUGAGCGGCAACAUGGAAGGCCGGGAGAAUAGCGUGGACACGCCACGAUAUCCGUAGUGCGGCAGCACCUAUAAAUAGAAAAUCAAGUAAGGCAAUUGAAAGCUUAUGACGCGUACUUUGACUUAACAGCUCAACAUUUUUUUUUCUUUUUCUUAAAAUGCUUUUUGCGGAGAUCUAAUUUUUCUCAAAAAUAUAAAUAUUUUAUUUUUCUAUCGUAAAAUUAAAUUAAAUUAAAUUUUAUUGUGUGAACAACAUCUAAUCUAACUAACUACUUAUUAAUGGUCAAAAACUAAAUAAAAAUUAUUAUUACAUUAAUUUUAAUAUUACCAUAUCAAAUAUAUUAUAUCUAGUUACGAUUUAAACUUUUUUACUAUCAUAAUAUCAAAAAUGGCUUGAACAAUAUUAAUUGUCGAGCUAAAUAUGUAAUAUAAGUCACAAUGUUAUUUUAUGUUACGAGAGUAUUUUUCUAAUAAUAAAAAAUUAAAUUAAAAUUAAUCUGAAUAAAGUUUGAGUAUCAAAUUAUCAUAUACUAAUAAUAGAUUUCGGUCUAUAUUAUAAUUGUUUUUCUUUCUUGUUCCAUAUGAUUUGUCUUUUUAAAACAAUCUCGCAUAUUUUAUUUUAUUUUAUUUAUUUUUUACUUUUUAAAAAAAUACUCUUUAAACCUCACAUGUAAGGGAUCAAAUUUCAGCCUUUUAAUCAGCAACUUUGAUUAUAGAUUGGUUACAAAUCCUAGUUUUUUUAUUAAAAAUAAAAGAGUCAUGGUAAAUAAUAAUGUGAUGAUAUAUGAUAUAUGAUAUAUGAAAUAAUUAUUUUAAAAUUAUUAUUAUUACUAUUAUUAUUAUUUUUAUUAAUUAGUAUAAAUUACGUGAGUGGAAGGUGCCGGAAACUUUUGGUUCAGUUGUGGCCUGUGGGACGCAACGUUACGUGUUUAAACUCACGAGAAAGGGCGAGGAACGGGUCAAAUGUGAACGGGCCCAACUCGGCCCGGUCCGGGUUCGACCGGCCAGGUUUAUUAUGUAUGACUAAUUAAUUAAUCGAUUAAUUAAAGAGGAAGAAAUAUUCAAUAUAUUAUAAAUGUGCUGGUUUUUUUUUCUCUCGGGUCCUUGUAGUAGGAGAACUUAUUAUUUGAACCUUUUUAUCGUGUUAUAUAUUAAUGGGAUGGAGCAGUUUACACUUUACACUUACAAAAACCGCACAUUCGGAGCGAAAAUCUUUUUAAAAUAUUUUAAAAUAUUUUGCGACAUAAUAUGUCGAUUCAAAUAUGUUUCUUACACUUUAUAAAUAAAGACAACGAAUCUAAAAAUGUGAGUAGGUUUUGUGUACGGAUAUUAAAGAGUCAAAAUAGAAAAGUAAGGGACCCCAAAAAAAAAAAUUUUCAUACAAUCACUUACUUUUCCCUCCUUUUCUCUCUUGAAGCUCUCGUGCAUGAAAUCUUAUGAUUUGAACCUCUGAGGAGUACAAAAUCACACCUCGAACCGAGUCAACUCGGGAGAUUUGAACCUCUCCCGAGCACCAAAACCUUAAAAAAAAUCGCCGAGUCGACUCUAACUUGACGUGGUCAUGUUCCGCUCUUUCUUCCGAGUUCGCGUGAGCAUCUCAAUCAUUUAUUUAUUUAUUAUUAUAGUAGAUUCAUAAAGCCAACACGCUUGUCCAUCAUAAAAUUCACAACAUAGCCUGGGAAUAGAGAUUUUUUAGCAUUCUAGUCCCUAAAAUCUUUUCAUAUUACGAAUAUGUCUCUCAAAUUAAACUCGCGUCCUACAUUUUUCUGUGGUUUGUCGAAUGUAAUGAGAUAAUUAACAUUUCUACUUUGCCCCUCUGUUUUUAAUUCUCUACGUUUUUUACUUCUCUUCACUAAUCUCUAUAUUCAAAAUGAAAGCAUUACUAUACAUUUAAGGAUGUUGGUGGCAAAGACCCAAAUAAUUUCUCAAUGUUAGAAACUAAUUAAUAAAUAAGUUCAUUUGAGGAACUGAUGAUAUGCAUAAUUGAUGAUGAUUUCAAAGACUACAAUGCCAAGAGAUUUUAGGGUCUAAUAUAUGCGAAAAAAGAAACUCCUUGAAAAGAAUAAUUAAUGGGAAAAAGGCAAAGCUAAUUAAAUUCUGUGGCUAUCACUCUCUGCAAGGUCUAAUACACUUUGAUUCCAUUGAUAAACAUUUCUUAAUUUGUCACCUCUCAUUUUGUAGGAAAUCCCAUUAAUGUGUUGAUCGUUAAGGGUCUGUUUGGUUCAACGUAAAACUUUGAAAAAAAAUUUAGUAGAAAAAAAGUUUUAUGUUUUGUAGUGUUUAGUUUGUAUGAAAAGAAUUAAAAGUAGUUUUCUCUCAACAUUUGUUUGGUUAAAGAAAAAAAAAUUCAUAUUUGUUUGGUUCAGUUGAAAAAAGUGAAAGAUAAGAGUUUUACGCAGUUUGAGUUUCGUUUUUCAUUGAAAAGCAGCGAAAAACGAAAGCUUCAAUUUUUUCUAAAAUUCGUAAAUAAAAUUUUACGUCGAGCCAAACAAACCAAAAGGGUAUUCUUUAUAACCGAAGAUGAAUUUUCAGUUCGUUAUACGCGGAACCCAAUGCCCCCUAAGCAUUCCCAAAUUACGGAAAGACACUUCAAAGGAACUACUAAUUAGUUUUAGGCCCUUGGACUCUUUCUCUCCAUUGCACAAAAAAUAAAUAUUAUUCUAAGAGAAUUAAGAACUUUUCUUUUUCUUGUUGGAUACUCAAUAUAUGGGAAAAGAAAUUGCACGCUUGUUAUAAUAAUAAUAAAUCUUAAAUUCCAUCCUUUUGUCAAAAUAGAGUUUUUUUAUUUAAUCCAGAAAGUUAUGAUAUAAUUAUUCAGUAGGAGUCUACAUAACAAUUGAAAUAAAAUUUCUUCUCUAGAUAGUCUAGAAGUUAUGCUAAUGACUCCAUAAUUAAGUUACAUACACUUGUUGCCUUCUACGUGUUUAAAUUCUUUAUAUUAUGUAGCUAGCGUGGUAUGUAUACAGCUGAUUUAACUAAACGAAAUUUUAUUGAAGUUUGAGUACCAAUAUUGAACAGUAUCUUAGGAGUUCUUCAGAAUCGGAAGCUUGCAAAUUUUUUUUCGUUGUGUAUCAGUAUGCGAUAUUGAAUACCAAUACUAAUAUUCUAGAAAAGAAUUAAUGCCGGUACUCCAAGCUGAGAACAGGUACUCAACUCUACGACGAGUUGGAUAUAUUGAAUUUGACUCCAAUUUGACCUAAUCUUGUUACUUAAGAUUAGAUAUGAUCUAAACUAUAAUAGAAAAUUUCUCAAUUGCAUAAAAACAAGGACAUUAGUCAAAUUCUCUGUUUUUACAUAGCUUCCAAACACCCUGUAAGUUUGAAAUUUUCCAGUUAAUUACUGGUUUUCUUCAAUCAAUCCAUGAUUUGAAUUAGCAGUUUGGCUUGUCAUGUUAUAGGACAAAACCUUUGUAGUUUUGAUGAAUCUUAUCUUUUAGCAGGAGAUAAUGGUUGAGGUGAUGGUUGAUUUCUUCCUAAUAAUAAUAAGGGUAUUUUUUGCAUUUAGUCCCUUAAUAAAUUUUUUUUUACAAAUAGCCUCAUAAAAUUUAUAUUUGCAAAAUUUGUCUUAUUUUUGCCACGUGAGCGUCACCUGUGAAGGGCGGUGGAGGAGAAGGAGUAGGCAGUGGAUGUAGCAUACCAAACUUCUAAAGUAUAAAGUUACGGAGUAUGCCAGGUUAGAGAAGCUAUUGGAAUGGUUCCGGUGAAGUUCGGGAGCAUUCGGGUGUUGCGGUGCGCGUAGGGCGCGGAAACAGAGCCCAAAAGACUAAGUUGGACCAUGGACUAAAUCCGGCAAAUGCGUCGAUGAAGAGAUGGUUUAAAUACGCUCGAAAAUAUGUUUUGAGAGUCUCGGUUCGAUUUGAAAUGAAUCGAGGCCUAACGAGCAAAAACGAGCGAAAACGGACCCAAAAGCUGAAAAUGCUGAAAAUUUGGCUAAGUCUGGAAGGUGCAAAAUUUUUGGACCUACGGGGUCUGGUCCCUCAAGCCAAGGACCGGUCCCCGAGACCCGAAAAUGCCUACUUUUGUGCAGUUUGCAUAGUUAAGGGGGUUUAUGGCAAUUGUGGCAUGUGGGGGCUAUUAAAGAGGGUUAGGGCCUCUCUCUCUCACUCCUUCACCAUUUGCAACCCAAAACUCUCUCUUUCUCUAAAGCUCUCUUUCUCUCUCUCUACAAGGGUGGAAUCAAGAGGAGGAGAAGUGGAGAUUGGAGCUUAGGAGAAGAUCAUCAUCAUCAUCUUCUUCCUUUGCUUGGUAGGAGCAAGCUUUUAAGAUAAGCUUGAUGCUCAACAAUGGUAGAUCUCUAGAGUUUGAUCCUAAUGCUCUAGAAUUGGUUUUAGUUGAACCCCUAGGUGCUAAAUAGAUGCUCAUUGCAUGAAUCAAGUGGUGGAUUUAAGCUUCUUGCAAUAGUAGCAUAUUAGGGCUUCAAAAAUGGGGUUUUGCUAUAUGGUAGGGUUUGAUCUUAGUUAACCCUAUGUAAACCUAAUUGCUAGGUAUACGAACGCGUUGGCGAAGUCUGGGAAUGUCGGCAUUCGUCGAGUCUACGCGAAUAUAUGAAGAAUGGACUGUAGAGCUUCGUUCCCGCCUGUAGGGCCGAGACGACGUCCAAAAAUCACAAGAUCGAAUUCGAGUAUCUGUGCAUCAAGUUAUAGACCAUUAUUUCCAGAUUGCAGAUUGGUAGCGUUUGGUGGUCGAGUGCAAGGUUGGGCCGAGCCGGACGCGGGUGCCGCAGGAGGCCGAUUGCAUGUGACUACAAGUAAUCGGAAUGCCAAUAAGAGGUGGGUUGUGCUCACCGAAGUUAUUACGUCGCUUCCAUAUCGAAGAGAAGUGUAGUUCUCUCGAUGCAUAUAAUGUGUUAAAUGCUAGAUGAAUGCAUGUGCAAAUGCCUAGAUGAAUGCAUGAGUAAUUGCUAUAUGAUGCAAUAUAGUGUCUAGAUGUUACAUUCUAUUCUUGCAUGCUCCUUAGUAGUGUAGCAUAGUUGAGCUUGACACUGAACUUGGAUGCAUGAGAAUGAGCUAUGAUGACACAGAACCCUAUAGAGAUUAAGAAAGUGAUAACUUGAUCUUCGCAAUGGUGAAAUAUAAUGAUAUAUGACUAGCAUAGUCGGGACAUUGAAUCAUGAUGAGUGGCAUGUGAACCAAGAGAACUUCUUGUAUGAGUGGCAUUAAGAGCUUAGUUGUUAAAAGACACUUGUACAUGAUGACUUAGGGAAAGGUAGUUUUCCUACUUGACACCUUGCAUGAGAUCGGUGCGAUGUGAUGACCCUAGUGACAGGGUAUCCUAAUUGACGAGAUUGAAUCAUACUCACAUAGUCUGUUUAGCGUCUGUGUUCGGUCGGUCCGCACAAGUAGUGCUUACGGAGUUUGGCACGUGUGGGAUAGCCUAUUUGGGGUCCUGCAGACGGUCCUCAGGUGGUUCGAAUCCCGCCGAUAUAGAGGGAUUUUGAGAUGUGAGUCGAGGGCCGAACUAUAGGUUAGGCCAAGUUGAUUGGGUACAGUAUCAUGACUGUAGCUAAAUCCCAGUAGAGUGAUAUUAGGUUUGAGAUGCAAGUGAGAUGUCCUUCGGCCUCGAGCUAGCUUUGCGGUAUCCGCAGAUGAUUGACUCAAGAUCGAUCGGUGAAUAGCUUUGUAAAGGUAGAUAAAACCUUGUGAGCAAACAGUAAGGUCAAUGUAAACCUUAUGAUCGAAAUGGUAAUUGAAUGAACCAAAUAGAGAAAACUUAAGUCAAUGCGAGCUAUGAAUAGCAGGAUUGAAAGUAGUAUCGACUUGAACUACUAGUUUGGUUGCAUAGUUGUAUAAAUAGCAUGAUUUCAUAUUGCAUUUUGUGAGCCAAUGAACUUGAUAAUGUUAUUGUAUGAAAUAUAUAAUGAUAUAUCAUUGUUUUGGUAUUUGUUGGACUAACAUGUUGCAGUGCUCCAUGGACCUGGUGGCGAGCUCAUUCUUUUGGAUGGCUGUAUCCACUGGGAACUAUAUUUAAUUACAGUUCUCACCCCGUGGUUUUUGAUGUUACUAGUUCGCACGUGACGACGCGCGGCGCAAAGGAGAGGGCGUAGCUCCGUAGAUAGCGCCCUACCACGGACCAGAGAUAAGCGUACGGCCAGUCAGCCUAGCAUAAGGUGUUAGAGAAGAAAAAUAAACAACUUGCAAUAAUCUUGUGAUAAUUGUUGUAUUCGAGAGUUGAAUGUAAUGUAAAAUUUGUAAGUAAGAUAAUGCUUGUAAAGUUUAGUUGUUUUAUGUUUUUGAUACUCUUAUUCAAUCUAUGCUUGAUUUCAGUUCCUGGUUGGAGCAUCUGAAUUGUAUUGAUUGCGACGCCUAGAUGUACAGGGGAGACUAUGUCCGUUCCAGUCUGUCUGCGUGCCCGAAACCCGACCAAAUAGGCGGGGCUCGGGGCGUGACAGCGAAGAGGCACAACAUAAGAAAGGUGAGAGAGUAGGAGAGAGGAUCUAGCGGCGGUGGCGCGCGGCGGUAAAAAGCUUGAGGAGGCACCAAGAUAAAGAAACGAGGAAAGUCGGGGAGAGAGAUAGAGAGAAAGGGUGAGAGAGAUCGUGCUGAGGGAGAUUAUACACAACGUUUGAACAUGAAAAACUAUUUACUGUGUUUGACCAUCGUCAACAUGGCACUUGUAUGGUAAAGAUAAAAUCAAUUUUGUAAAUAUAAUUUUAUUAGACUAUUUAUAAAAAAAAAAUAUUAUAGGGCUAAAUGCAAAAAAAAACUCUAAUAAAAUAUACUAUAACGGAGCUUGCCAUCACUAAUAACUGCCAUUAUUAGAUUAGAUAGAUUUGUUUGAGCAUCAGACAGGAUUCUAGAUGAAGAUAUAUAGGGACAUCAUUAAAGUUGUAGUAUCUAUCCAUGCCCAAAAAUUGAACUAAUAAAUAUUUGUAUUAAAUUUGCUUCCUCACUGAAAGGGAUGUUUGUUUAGAGAAUGUCUUAGUUAAUUACUUUUGACUAAAAGCAUAUUGAACUUAUCUAAAUUGUGGAUUAUUUUGAGUCGUUUAUCUAACUUAUAAAAAUUAAUUUUAUCAUUCAAUUCUUUUAAUUGUUUGAUUAACAUCAUCAAUGCUACUUUAACUUCAAAUGUAAACUAAUUAUUUUCUUAAUGACAUUUAUAGUUGCGAGAGUAUAUAAAAUGUCAAACAUACUAAACGCGCAUUAAUAUUUGAAGUUAAAUGUGGGUUGACUGAUUCAAAUAAAAUAAAAUAAAUAUUAGGUAAUCAAAUUAAAAUUUGAAAGAUGAGUAACCAAUUUAAAAUGGUCCAUAAUUCGUACAAUUCUGUACAUUUUUAUCUUUUUUUUUUGUUGUAAUCACUGCCAGAGAAGAUAAAAUCCAAUAUUUACAUUUAAUGCAUCUAGUAUUAAAUAAAGUUUUUUUAAUAGUUAUGAGGUAUGUUUGGUUAGCCGAAAGUGAACCACAGAAAAUAAUACUUUUAGGAUUUGAUGUCUCAUUAGUUGUUUGGUAUGUAAAAGCAUAAUAUAGAACUUAAUUUACUAAAGUAGGUUGAUAAGAAGUUACAACUCAAUCAUACCAUUUUUCGACUUAAAUAGACCGAUUGUAUCUUUAUAAAUCGUCUUUAAUAAAUCACAUAUGCGCCACAUCCAACAUUCUCCCAUUUGGCUUAGUAAUAUAUUCAUUACCGUAUAGACGAUACAAAAAUUUUAUUAGGUACCAACUAAAUAAUACAGUCGGAAUCUCCCACUGAACCAAAAAAUCACAAUACUUUGAUCAUAUACCGUGGUUAUGUCCCAAAAGAUGAACACUCCCUUCCAUAUAUCAAAAGCAUGUAUUUAUUUCUUAAUCAAACAACUUUAUGAGUUACAACCAUAUAAACUUAUUGAGUUCAGCUAUGGUGCUUGUAAAAGCACGAAGCACUUGGUGCUUGUAAGUUCUUUACCGUUAGAUCUACUCCUCAGAUCAUUUUCAACCAUUAGAUUAUACUAUUCAACCAACCACGCACUCAACCCUAGGGGGCCCACAUCAUCCUAACCGCAUAUCUCUUAACCCAAUGGCUAAAAAUCUACAAGCACCAAUAACUUGGUACUUUUAAAUGCAUAGGAGCUCAAUUCUGAACUUAUUAUAAGUUCAAAGUCCAAAAAUUUCAAAGUCAUCAAAAGUGGAAAGCUUAUCUAAAAAAUUAAAUUGGUCUUAACUUUAAUUUUAAAUUUUUUAAAUUGAAUUUUAACUUAAAUUUGAAUUCAAAUCAUGAAUUUAAUCUCACAUUUUGAAUUUUAUUUGUAAAUACAAAUUCCAACACAAAAUAUUUAAAUUUAAAUUUGCGAAUUUAUAUUUAAAUAUAAAUUUUUAUAUAAAUUUAAUUCUGGUUUUAAAAUUUUAAAUUUACAUUUAAAUUAAAUUAUUAUUUAAAUUUUAAAUCUAAUGAAAUUAUUUUUAGCUAGGAACUUGAACUUGAACUUGAACUUUGAAUUCAAAUUGUUCCCAAAUUAUAAUUAUUGAUUGAAAGUUGAAUUCAAAGUUCAAAUAUUUAAGUUGAUUUAAGUUUGUAUUUUAAAUUUAAUUUCAAUAAUGAGUUUCAGUUUGAACUUUGAAUUCAAAUUAUGAAUUCAAUUGUUCAUUUUGAAUUGUAAGUUAAAUUCAAAGUUUCAUUUAAAUUUAAAUUUUUAUUCAAAUUGUGAAAUUUAUAUUUUAAUUUAAAAUUUAAAAUUUAAAUAAUAAAUUCAAAUUAUAAAUUCAAUUUAUGAAUUCAAAUUUGAAUUAAAAUUUUAAUUUUUAAGUUGAAGUUUGAUUUUAAAGUUUAAUUUCAGUUAUGAGUUCUAACUUAAACUUUAAAUCCAAAACGUUAAUUAUAAGUGUGCAAUGCUCCAAUACAAUAUAUUUACAACUUUAAUUAUAAAUGGAUUCUUAAAUCAUCCUAACUGUUAAAAUGGUUGCCACAAAAGUGAAGUAUUUCUCAUCAAAUUUGUUAGUUAGUCACCCUGCGUGUGCAUUUGUAGCAUCUGAAACAACAAUAUUCAUAAAAUAAAAUAAAAUGGGCUUCAUAAAUAUUUUCAUAUAUACUUAGAUAAAUGUGAAAUUCACAUGACCCCUAAUGCUCUAAUUAAGAGGUCAAAGUUGACUUAAUCCUAUGUCCCCAGCAUAUAAAUAAUCAUAAAAAAUAAUUGUCUAAGACUUUGCAUGUUAAAUUAAUUACUUCUGAAACAUUAUCAUAACACCUGGCAAAUGUUGUGCAUAUGAUAUUUUAAAAUUCUAAUGAAAUUGAGUAUUUUAAAAUUCUAAUAUUUUAAAUUUCACAAUUCUAUGGCCAGCUUUUCAAAGAUUAAAAUAAAAUAAAGAAAAAAAAGAAAAAGAAGAAGCACCUUAAACAACAUUAAUUAAUAAUUAAUAUUGUAUAUCCUUCUCCAUUAAUUAAUUAAUUAAUUAAUUAAUCUAAUGUGAAAGCCAAAGGGGUUGACAAAAUAGAAAUUUGUCGGCAAAUUAACCUUUUUUAAAAUUUCCAAAUAAAUUAAAAUAUCUUUGUGCUGGGUUAUUAUUGAUAAAAUAUGUGAAAAGAAUUAUAUUGCAAUUAUACUAUAUAUAACUUUUCAUCAUUUGGACAAUUUUAAUUUGGAUAGUAUAAUAAUGGAGCCAAUCAAGUUUUUUUUUAUUUUAACGGGCCACACACCUAAACAUUUUAAUUGGUUGAUCCCAAUAUGAUAUUUAAAAUUUUGAAUAUAAAAUUCUAAUUAAAUUAUGUUCUUUAGUAGCUGAACCUUGUAGAGACAAACGAUUUUUCUCCGGGGUAUCAUAAAAGGUGAUUCUGAAUUCGAAUGCUUUUGGGUUCUUACCCAUUUGAAUAGUUCUUCUAUUUAAUUCAAUUUCUCCUAUUGAUAUUUCACUUACAAUAUUCUUUCUUGCGAUUGAAUCGAGACUUUUUAAUAGUUUUAGAUAUGGAUUCAAAUUAGACAGGAGGAUAUUACUGCAAAACUAAGAUUCCUGUAUUAUAAGGAUUUAAAGCCAUGGCCUCCCGUUCUUAUAUCAUGUGAGAUUAUUAAUUACUCUAAAAUAGUAGAGAACAAUUUUUAAUACUUUAAAUUUUAUUUAUUUUACAAAAUUUUCAUAUAUAUUAUGAGAUUUGAUUCGGUAGUUAAUUAUAUAAAUCAUAAUAAAAAAUGUUGAUUAAUGAAGGAUAAAAUUAUCAUUUUAACUUAUAGCAAGUUUUCAAGCAACUUCAUGCUAAGGAUAUUUCCAGAAUUAAACAUCGCAGAAUUUAAGAAAAACUUGAAUUGAUAUCCAUUCCACUAAUUUACUUUACAGCAUGAGAUAGUUUCAUAAUUUUUCUUUGUCUAUUCAACAAACUAGCCAAAUUAAUAGCAAAAUAAAAUAUUUUAUUUAAUAAGAAUAUAGGAUAUAAUUCAAAUUCAUUCUUAGAAUAAAAUUACAGGGACUAAAUUAAUUCAAAUUUUAAUAGUUAAAAUUGAAUUUUUAAAAUAGGACUAAUUUCAUACAGAUCCCUGCAAAUAUAGUGAAUUAUAAAUAUAUCCCUACAAAUUUCAACUUUCACAUAUUAUUGCCACAAAAAUCCUAAUGUUUUCAAAUAUGUCCCUCUGGUUUGUUGCCGUAAAGUACUAUUUAUUUUAUAAGUGAAAUGACCUUUUUGCCAUCACGAAUAUGUCCCUCCAAAAGUCCCAACUAUUAAUUGAAUUAAUUGAAGAGCGAUAAAAUAGUCAAUUCACCUCAUUAACUAACUAGGGUUAAGUAUUUUACUUAUAGUUAACUAAUUUUUUCUAAUGGAUCUUAAAGGCAAGGACAUAUUUGAAAAUAUCAGAACUUUUACAAGAACAACAUGUGAAAAAUAAAUUUUGUAGGGAUAUAUUUAUAAUUUACUAUGUUUGCAGAAAUCUAUAUAAAAUUAACCCUUUAAACUUAUGAAAUCAUACAUUAUAAUUUAAAGUUGAGCAGUAAAUAAAUUUAAAGUGAGGCAAAAUUAAUUAACUAUUUCCGUAUAAAAGAUCAAAAUAUCUCUCUUUGCGGUACCUGGUAAAAGAUACCACUCUCCUAAUGACCUGCUAUCACAGUUCGCAAUUAAAAAAAAAAACAAUUUGGGCCGUAGAGUCAGAACAAAUGAUUGGGAUCAAAAAAUAAAAAAAAAAACCAGUUAAAAUGUUAUUCCUUAUCAAAUUUUUCUUCUUCUUUUUUAGGCCAAUUUGCAUAAAAAAAUCUACUAGUUUUGCGCUUUUGUAAAAGUGGGCUAUCUUUUUCGAUUUUGCAGAUUUGGGUCGGAUUUUCAGCCACCUGACCAAAAUGCCCCUCAUCUACAUCCGCCUCUCGCGUAUUCCCUAGGAUAUGUGUAUCCUAACGUACGGUCCUGGUGGGCAUUAAAUGCGCCCUUUGCGCUUUACGCAACCUCGCUCUCAUCGGAACCCGAACCAAAUCAGCCUCGCUAUUCGCCAGCCCGAGUGUUUACUGUUCGGCUUUAAGAAAUUAAAUUUGCUGACAAGCUACAUGACAAGAACUCCGCAGCCAGCAGCAGGAAUAAUAGUGCAACGCCAAGAAGCAACGCGAAGAGAAAUGGUGCAACAACACUUCUAACAAUGCACCUUUCAGCUGGUACUAGUGCAAUCUCCGCCCCUCAACUGGCGUUCAAUCUUCUCCCACACUAGGGUAAACCCCCACUCCCCCGAAAGGUAGUAGUUCAUUAAAGGCUUGAAGGUAAUAGUUCAACAAAAUGCUCGACGUGGUGUAACAUUCACCUAAUUUGUGUAAUAAAUAAAAAAAAAAUGGUGCAACAUGUUUAAUGCUUUAACGCAAAUGGUGUAAUGAGUCCAUAAUUUUACAAAAAUGGUGCAACGAGUGUAACGACCCAACCCAUUAGCAAUAAUAACUCGUUGGGCCCAAACACCGGCCCAAAAUGCUUAAGCAUAGUUAUUAUUACUAGUGUCUAAGUUUCUUAUAUACCCAAUCACAUCCCCAUUCAUAUCCAAUGUGGGAGAAUUAGGUUAUAGGGACACAUAUUUGGGACACUUUUGAGUAAGUGUCCCAUUUAUGCUAAAACUUAAAAAAACAUCUACUAAUGCCUAAAUAUAAAGCCCAAUCCAACCAAAAAUAAAAGAUUACUCUACUCAACCCACCACACACAGUCCAUUUGGCCCGAUUACAAAUAGAAAAGAAAAAAAAAAAUCAAUUACCAUCUUUUCUUCUUUCUUCACUCAAUCCACUGAAAUUCUAGACGAAGAGCCUUUCCUGUCGUCCUCCUCCGCCACCGCAGCCAACGAGAUAGAGUUUCGGCGGUUGCUAAAUGCUUAAAUAAGUGUUGGUAAAUUAGCAGCACUCUUUUAGGUUAUAGCGACACUCUUUAACUGUCACUAUAUACCUAGCGAUCCCACAUAUAGCAACACUUUUUAAAAGUGUCGGUAAUUUUAGCUAGCAACACUUUUUUGACAUGUAUCUACAUUUAAAAGUGUCGCUAUAGACCGUUUUUGUUGUAGUGCAUGUGGAGUGUAAAUCUUUCUAUGGCGACGAAUGGCGUCCCCUCCAAACGCAGGUGACGCGACGGCAAGGCAAGAGGGUCGUGCAACAUCUCUUGAAAAAGCUUAAUUCCUUAAUUUAGCCAUACAAUAAUAGUGCAGCGUAAAACACGAAUAAUAAUCCAACGUGAGGUAAAAGAGUGCAAAUAAGCUUGUAAGAGUGCAAUGCACUUCUUACUAAUAGUGCACCGUUCACCGUAACAGUGCAAUACAGUUCCAACCAGUAUAACAUAAGAGUGGAACACUGGUUGAAUUAAGCUUUUUUGAAACUUAAUAGUGCAACCCAAUAUAAAAUGGUGCAACAUGCAGCUCUAAUUAGUGCAAGUCGUCAUUAACUAUUGAAAAUGCUCUCUCUAUUAGUGUUGACCAAAGAUUAUAUUAUCUUUGACGAAAAUGCAACAUAUAAAACACGAUUUGCAUAUAAUACAAUGUUCUAUUACAUCAAUUGUAACAAAAUGCUCUCUCUAUUAAUGUUGUACCAAAGAUUACAUUGUCUUUGAUGAAAAUGCAACAUAUAAGAGACGAUUUACAUACAAUACAACGUUCUAUUAUAUCAACUGUAACAAACUCCUCAAAAAUAAUUACUUAACAAAAGUACGGAAUCAUCUAAGCUUGUCUGCAAUUUAACACGCACGGAGCCGACGCUAACAUGUAUAGGCGGCUAAGGGAGAGAGCCGAAGGAGACUAAGAGGAGAAGGUAGCUCACUCGGAAGGGUACGAUCCAGUAACGACGUGUUAAGCUUGAUUCAAUUUAUCUGGAGUGCUUUAUUAUGCCUCAAGCCCUUUAGAUCUCCGCUCUACUAUGUUCGGAAACAGACAGUACAGUCAGUAAAAUUAUAGAAUCGAUCAAUAACAAUAAAGAUCUGUAAGAAUUUAAAAACCUGGAAGAGAGGAGUGCCAAUAGACUCGAGGCAAAUAAAGCAUUCCAGAUAGUGCGAAUCAAUCUUAACGCCUCGUUGAUGUAUUGUACUCUUUUGAGCGAGCCGCCUCGUCCUCGAACUCUCCUUCGGCUCUCUCCCUCGUCGCCUGAACCUCCUGGACGAAUAGUAGCAUGUCGUCAUUACCUUCUUCGGCUCUGGCGCCUUCCGCUGCCGCACCGGUUGCCCUCGUCGCCUUUACGUCCUUUUUUUUAUAUGUAGUAAUGCUUUAGAAGAACCGUUGGCUGAAAAGUAAAAAAGUACUUGUAGUCAUUGGGUUCUAUAGCCGCCGCUUUCCCUUCUCGAGGAGAAAAGGCCCUUGAAAUUUUUCUUAUGAUGCAAUAACGUAUUUCGAGGACAAAACGUAAUCUUAAUGAUGUCACUGACGAUAUUUCUUGUUGAGGUGCUGUUUAAAAAUGGCACUAAUAACAAAACAGAAAUACAGCACAAUAAUUUAAAAUAUUGGUACAAUGGAUAACAAAAUAGUAUAAUACAGGUCGUAAUUAGUAUAAUAUGCUCGCAAGCAUUGUAAUAAUCCGCCAAAAUGGAGCAACAGAUGCGCCGUUUUAUUAACAACUGGUGACGAUCGAAACCUAUGCCAAUGUUGUAUACAGAGAUGUCGGAAAUGAAUUAUGGCAGGAACGGACCUACUGUUUCCCGCCUUUUUCAAAACUUACCAACUCAUGCAAGUUAAUUGGAUUAUAUUUUUAUAAAAGAGUAGUAUUGCAUUACUAUCAACUAACUGCAUUGCUUCCAACUCAUGGAUAACGUUGAAGUUCCAGUGCACUGCCAUUUUAAUGGCUUCUUUUAGGAGGAUAGAGUAAAUGUCAAGUAUGUAGGAGGAUCAUGCCGGCUCGCUUUCACCGGGCAAGGGGAGAGUUUUAAUUUUCUAUGAGCGCGGUUGUUCAGAUUCAUGAACACUUCACCGGAGAGAUGCAAGAUUGAAAUUAAACUUUGCUACUGUGGGGAAAUCGAUAAACUCAUCGAUAUUAUGGACGACGAUGAUGUUCGAAACAUGUUGAGACUAUAAAAACUACGCAUUUCUGAUAGAACUGCAUGCUGUGAGGAAUGUAGUUGAGAGAAAGGUUCCUAUAUGUGAUACCGAUGAGAUAGACGAGGCGCUUAUCGACGAACGGCUGGAAUUGUUGAUUAGCAGCCGGUCCGCGGAUGCAUUUAUGCCUCAGCCGCCAAGUUUUGAACUAGUUGGCUCGUAAGUUGCCCUAUUGAUACUAUUUUGUACUAUUAGGUUGUAACUGUUGCACCCGAAAGCACUUUAUAUUUAACGAUUGCACUACUUCAUAUUUUUUUGCACUACUAACUCGUUAUAAUGUACUGCUUGCUUUGCACUGGUAUUGCAGAUUCUGUCAUCCUAUUCUCAUCGACGACACGGCAAACAGUGACGAAGAUUCUUGUAUCAUUGAUAUGAAAGACGAGAUGGAUUUCGACGAUAGCAUCUGUAUCGCCGCGUCCUCUUUCGACGGAUUUCAUUGGAUGUACAAUGCCAUGGAUGUUGUCCUAUUGGGCCAAAGCGACGUAGUGGGACUUAUGGCUGAGAAAUUCGACGAUGACGAGAUGGAAGAAGACUUUAUUGUCAAUAGCGCAACGCCGGAGUCAGCUGGAAUCGUCACAGAUGUUGACGAUGUCCACGAGGGCCAGCUCUAUAAAACACAAGCCGACUUCAAAAGAGCUCUGAAAGUAUAUGCAAUGAAAAGAGGUUUUGAGUACACCCCGACCAAAUGCAACGAUCUUAAGAUAACCGCAAGAUAUCGUAUCGUAGAUUGCUCGUGGAGAAUAAAGGCGCGUCACCUACCAGAACUUACACAAUGGUGGGUGAAGAAAUUUGCUUCGAAACACAGUUGUAGCCGGGCAAUAGGGGGUUUGGGCGACAGGAAUUACGAUGAGAAAUUUAUCGUAUCUUCUGUUAGGGAGAAGGUCGUGGCAAACGAGAAAUAUACGUCGAAGAUGGUUCAGACUGAGAUUCUGUGCCAGCACGGCGUCAGAAUUUCUUUGGCCAAAGAAAGGAUCCUUCAGGAGGUCCGUGGAGAUUUCGAGGGCUCGUUCGUUGCACUUCCGUCGUACAUGCGAGAACUGAGGAUGGGUGACGCGGAUGUAUGUCUUCAACUACUUUACCAGGACGAGCGUUGUUUCCACUGAUUUUUCUGGACAUUCGAUGCAUCAAUUCGUGCAUUCCGGAAGCACUGCAGACCGCUAUUUGGACUCAAUGGUACGAUCUUGCACCAAGACGCUAAAUUCCACACCAUUAUAUAAAUAUGUUGCACUAUUGUAUAUUACAACGAUGUGAAAUAAUCUAGUUUGCACGAUUAUGAACUAAUAUACACGCUUUGCAUUACUUUCAAAUACUUUCCUAAUUGGUAAGUUUAGAGGGACUCUGUUAACGGCUUCAUGUAUCGAUGGAAAUAACUGUAUUCUACCAUUAUUGUGGGCAGUUGUGAAAAGUGAAAAUCAAUAUUCCUGGCACUAAUUUCUUGAACAGUUGGGGGAUGGUGUCGUUGGUGAGAGAGCAGACGAGAGAGAGAGAGAGAUUUUGGGGGAGAGAGAAAAUGAGAGAUUUUGGGGAUUAGGUUUCGUUCAUUGAAGAGAAAUCAAGCGAUUUGACUCUAGAAUAAAGGAAUGUGGGUUGGCCGAGAGGACGAAUAAAAAAAUAUAAAGAAUAUAAAAAUAAUAAUACUAAAAGUCCGGAUAUCUGGAUAUUUUCUAUCCGGAUAUAGAUAUUAUCGAAUACUGAUACGUGUAUUUUUGGAUAAUAUCAUAUCCAUUUUCACCCCUAAUUAUAGAGAUAUUUAUAAUAUUUUGAAAUUUAUAAAAAUAUCUAUGAUAUUUUGAAGAUUUUGAUGGGCCUAGAUGAAACUGCCCUCUUCUUUUAUACUAGAUUAUAUUUAUAGGUUUUUCAAAUACUAUUGAAUGAUGUGAAACUUUGUUCGAAUUGAUAUUGCAGAUAGCAAUGUGUUGACAUUUGAGCUGUUGAAUGCAAGUAGCUGGGCAAAACAUCAAUUAUCGUUACUCAAGCUAGUUAAGAUGCUCAAGGCUAAAGUUCAGUUGAACAAAACUCGAUUUUCUACUGAGUACCAAUACUUAAUUUGAAGUAGCGGUAUGACACACGCUGGGAGGAAUGCAAGUACCAGUACUCCGAUUUGAGUACGAGUACUCCAGGCCGCAGCGGACAAAUUAAGUUAGAUUUGACUCGAACUUGUUCUAAUCUUGCUUUAAGAUUAAGGAUAGUAUGCGGACAUCUUGGAGAGGCCUUUUAGAGGAGAUCGGCUUAUAGAAGUGAAUCGGUGAUUUAGAUGGAAAGGAGAGAUCACUUUUUUAAAAAUAUUAAAAUAUUAGGAUUUAAACCUUUCCAAUUUAUGUUUAUGAGUUUGAGGCUUUAUUGCAAUACUCUAAGUUGGAAGGAAAAUGUGGAAGAACUCCUAAGAGAAAUUCUUAUAAUCUAAUCUACUCUGUAUAUUUAUUGUGCCAAUGGUUAAUUGAAGGUGUUGAGAAGGUCUUGCCCGUGGAUCGAUGUAGGUACAUCGUUGCCCGUCUUUUGUUCUUUAUUGUUUUGUUAUUCUCCUACUUAUGUUUUAUGAUUAUUCCGGUCUAUUUUCAUUUACGUAAGAUUCGAUUUUCGUUGAAUUUGUGUGUCGUGUGGGUUUGAUGUGUGCUAAAUGACUCCUCUACUUGUGUAGGUAUCAAAAUGUUGGUUCUUUGUAAUUCGGUUGACGGUGAAACGAUAGUGAAAAAAAUUACAACGAUAAAAUAUGAGAUUCCUCAGUUUAAUGGAACUAACUUUGCAUGUGAAAAUUGAAGAUGCGAGCGAUGCUGAUUACCGAUGCUUGUGAGAUCGCGCUACAAGAAAAUGAGAAAAAGCCGAAGGAGAUAAAUUAAGGAUAAACAAUUAAAGAGAACGAAAAAAAGAUUUCGGCAAACAUAUAUUUGAUAUUGGAUGAUUUAAUGCUAUUAAGUGUGAAGGCCGAGAUUACCGCGAAAGAAAUUUGAAAAAAAAUUGAGCAAUUAAAAACAAUUUUUUGAUUAACAAAAUUUUUUUGAGACGAUAAUCGUAGGAUUGGAGGAUAAAGGACAGAGCACCGGAUAAGAACACUCGAGUACAUCCAACUCUAAGGGGGCAAAUAUAUAAUUUUACUAACUCAUAUAAGACAAGCCUUUUAUUAGGCAUCCAUGUGUUAAUAUUAAAUUUUUAAGGGGCAAAUAUCUAAAUUUACAAAUUCAUAUCAUGGUUAAGUUCAACGUACUACUCGUGUGGAUCUGGAUCCUCAAUCCGUUACGCCCACCAAUUACAACUCGCGCCAGCUGUACUAGCCGAGCACUUCGUGGCGAGCAGUUGAUCGUACGCUGAUAUAUAUAUAUAUUUCUAACUUUAGGUGAAAAUGUCCGGAGACCCCCUCAACUAUUGCGCAAUGCAAAAUGGCCGCUCAUUGAUCCUUUUUUUAAAAAAUGUUUUUAUGAAGUUAAAACUUUUUAUAGGCAUUCCUUUAAAAUAAAAUAGGCUUGAUUACACCAAGGCAACAUUUGGAUCGAGUUAUUUAAUAUUUUUACAAUUCUAAAAAGUUUUUUAAAAUUAUUUAUUUAUGAUAAUUAUAUGAUUACUGAAAAUUUAAUACCUUCUAUUUGGUUUGUAUAAUUAUUUCAUCGAAGAUUAUUAUGAUUAUUAUAUAAGAUUAUCGUAUUUGAUUAACAGUAAAAUUCCAUGACAGUUUUUUAUUCUUUUAUAGGUUAGGGCUAGAUUUAAAUUCAAAUUUUAAACUUGAAAUGCAAAGUCAAAAUAUACAAUUAAAGUUUAAAUCUAAAUUUGAAUUGAAAAUUGAAUUCGAAAUAUAAAUAGAAUUCAAAAUUUGAAAUUUGAAUACAAAAUUUGAGUUUGAAUUUAAAAUUUGAAUCACAGAUCAAAAUUUAAAUUCAAAACUCAAAAUUUGAAUUUCCAUAAAAUUUAAAUUUAAAAUUAAAUUCAAAAUAUAAAUUUAAAUUUAAAAUAAUAAAAUUAAAUUUAUAAUCUAAAUUGAAGCUGAGGAUAGUUUAGGAAUUCUCAAAAAUUGUAUUGUUAAAGAUUUCCUAUAUGUACUAGGAAACCAGAGAUAUCCGGCCCCAUAAUCAAUAGGAUUCUCCCAUUUGGGGAAAUUCUAUUCCUUUUGGAGUAAUAAUAUAUUUCUGACCUGAUUACUAACAAACAUUAUCCAAAUACGAUAAUGUAAGCAAGAUUUUUAAUAAUCCAAUACAGAUAGCAGGAGCAAACACAUCCUCAGAAACUAUUUUGCGAAGAGAAGUAUAGCACAGCCCAUUUAAGGGGCCAUUUGAUUGCGUAUAGUUGCAACUGCUCUGCAGUUAUAAUAAUUAUAUAUAAAUACAAAUUUGAUAUUUGAUUUGAUGUAUUUAGCUCUAACUUCUACAGUAGGAGGCCCAAUUGCAGCAGUUGUAAUUAUUUUUUAAAUAAAAUUUUUCUUUUUACAUUAUAGCUAAUCUUACCAUCAUAUAUAUCUAUAUAGGCUAAAUUACAUAAAAUCUUUCUGUCAAAACCCAAUUUUUUUACUUUUCCUUCAUGUCAUUUAAAAACCUACAUUUUGCUCCCUUGUAAAAUAAAAAAUGUUCAUUUCGCCCCAUGCCGUUAGUAAUCCGUUAGGGUUCCGUUUACAAAAUAUUAUUAUAUAUUUUUUUAUGCCAAAAAUGCCCUCAGCCUUCUCUCCUGUGAACAUAGUAAAGGGCAAAAUGGUGAGGGGCAAAAUGAUCAUUUUGCUAUCACAGUUCACACCGUAACUCCGGUGAACAUUUUUUAUCUUACAAGGGGGCAAAGUGUUGUUUUUUAAAUGACAGGGGGAAAAGUAAAAAAUCGGGUUUUAACAGGAAAGUUUUUUUGUAAUUUAGCCUAUAUAAAAUGAUAAAAUUUUAAAAAUUAUUUUUCAACUAUAUGUAAUCAAAUAAAUUAUUUAUAGUUGCAGGAUGUUCUACUACAUCCAACAAAACAGAAUGCAUAUAAUUACAACUGUUGUAUUUUCAAUUAUACUGUAUUUAUAAUUAUAUCUAACCAAAUGGCCAUAACACAGCCAAAACAAUUGAAGGAAAGACAUUAACUAUGGUCUUGAAGCUCAAAUACACAACGACCAAAAAAGAAAAAGAAAAAGAAAAAAGAAAGUGUAAUAAUAAUGGUUUCCUAACCUAAGCAUACAGUCAAACAACAAAGCUCAUGAGUAUUAAAGCCCGUACAAGAAACAAAGAGGAAUGUGAAUACAACAUAGAACAAAAAAUAGUAAGCAAGGAAACAAAGUUUUCGUGAAAAAUGAUUAGGUGGAAAUGAGUAACAAAAUCUCAAAUUGAAGUGGUAGACAUAGGUCUAAUUUUAUUGAAAUUUGAUAAUAUGUACAAAUAUUAUUGCUUUUUGUAUGUUGUCAUUAAAUCUCUUAUUUGCCUUCUAUAUUUUGUCAUUAAACCCAUUCAAAAGUCUCAGCUGAAUUGGCAAAAUAAUUUUGGUCCAAAGUUACAAAUAAUAGUUAGCCAAAUCUUCAUCAUUUUCUCCACCAAAUCUUGAGUGAGGCUAGUAUGCUUCUAGAAAUACGGAGCUCUCCGUGCUUUCAAGUCGUUUUCGUUGUUGAAAUUUUCGAAUCGACGAUCGGUUUCGUUAAACUUGAUCUAGGGUAUUUGAAGUAGCUAGAAAAUAAAUUUUGUGAUUUUUCGAUAUCAUUUGUCUAGUGAUAGAAGGAGCUCAAUAUCAACGACUGAAAAUAAAAAUCUUACAAAAUGUAAUAAUAUGACAUUAAAAUUUUAAAUCAAAAAUAUUGAACUUGUUUUGUGUAGUAUAAAGAAUUUUUUAUUAAAAUUUCACUUGAUUUGAAUAUUUUUACACUGUAAAAUUUGCAAACGGCUCAUUACGGCCAUUAAAAUUGUUGAUUUUGAACUCCUUCGAUCACUAGGUAAAUGAUAUCAAAAAAUUACAAAAUUUAUUUUUUAAAUAUUUCAAAUAUUCUAAAUCAAGUUUAAUAAAACUGAUCGUCGAUUCAAAAGUUUAAAUAUCGAAAACAACUUAGAAAUACAAAAAAUUCUAUACUUUCAGAAACGUACCAGCAUCACUCCAAAAUCUUUAUCAAAUAUUCACAAAAUAUGAAUAAUUCAUUUUCUAAAUAGUUUCUGAGCAAACUCCCAUCCUCGAUCGGCUCUUGCACUACUAUCGAUGACUUCUGACUUCGUUGAUUAGUAUCUGACAGACCAAAACACAAUGGCCAACACAACGCUUGAGUAGAUAAAAAGGGCAGUGUUAGGAAAUGCGUGUGAAAAAGUGCAGUAGAAAAAAAAAAAAAAAUUUUAGAAAUUCAAAAGCCGAUCUAAAAAUUUGCGCAAACAAGAUCUCUUAUAUUGUUUAAGAUUAAAAAGAAAAAAAUUUAAUUUUCACCUUUGCACGAGUAGAUUUUUAUCGCAAUCUGAUGAUCGUAAAAUUGGUUGUCUUAAAACUACACAAACAUCCGAUCUCUAUAGGUGUCUUCACAAAAUUGCUGAUCUGAUCGAUAUCCUUAUCAGAGUGCUAACUCCCUUAUAAGGGUGCAUUUGGUUUGAGUUAUGCUGACAGGAUGACGGGUAAUCCUGCCGAGAUUACUGUGCUUAGUUCAUCCGCUAUGUAAUCUGGUCGUUAAUUUAACAUUACAAAUCGAAUAUGAUUACACCGAAAAUAUUAAUGAGAGAGGGGUCGUGUAUCUUGCAUUACUGAAAACUGGUAAUACUACAUAUUAUGCAAAAUAACAAUUUUAUCCUCCAACACCCCCAAACCCAAUUAACAACAUUGUUUUCAUCUCUCUCUCUCACACCCUCCCCCCUCUCUCUCGCACGCCGCUCUCUCUCGCACACCGCUCUCUCUCGCUCUCUCUCUCGUAUGCUGCUCUCUUUCGCUCUCUCUCUCGCACGCCGCUCUCUCUCGCUCUCUCUCUCGCACGCUGCUCUCUCUCUCUCUUUCUCUAUCUCUUUCUCUCUCUCGCAUGAACGCCUAUCAUCUUCUGUUAUUGUAUGAUUUUUCAUUAUGUAUAAUGAUCUUUUUUCUAUUUAUUGUUUUAUGGGUUGGAAUUAAUUUUUUGCAACGUUAAUUUUUUUUUCAUGUUUGGUCUUUUUAUUUUAUUACUUAUUAGUAUAAUUAAUUUACUAGUACAAAUUAUAUUUUAGUAAAAAAUAAUAUUCAAAUGACCACAAUAAGGACAAUUUUGAAAAAAAAACUAUAUUUUUAUGUCAGGAUUGCUAAAUUUUAUAGGCUGAAACAAACGUAAUAAUGCUAUAAACACUGCAAUUCAUUAUUAUAUUACUGCAUUAAACCAAACGCGCUAAUGCAGCAUCAAUAGUAAUCUCACACCGAAAUCAAAGAUACAUGGAUAUGUCGAGAUACUUUGUAAUAUUAUAUAACUUGAACCAAACGCACCCUAAAGAACAUCUUUUUUGUUACAAAACGGCUACUGUUUUGUAAAAACUCCUCUCACUUAUAAAGAGGGAUAUAAUCCAUUUUAUAAUAAUAUAAUAACCAUUAAGGAUAAACAAAUCUAGAUUUAAUUUUAUCUUAUUCUUAAUUGGUUUGAUCGAUUAAAUUCUAAUUUAAAUCGACUUGAACUCAAUCCUAAUCUGAUCAAAUCAAAUUAAUAAUGAAAUAUUUACAAAUAAGUUCUCUCACAACUUACUAACCGUUAGUAAGUCCUCUCUUACAACACUUACAUUUUAAUAACACUAAUUUAUAAUAAUUAUAAAUUAGCCCAAUUAUCAAUAUAUCAACAAUUAGGUUCUUCGGCAAUUCAAAAAUUACGAUCCAGCUAUUCGAACAAUCACAAUCUGUUAUGUGUGUGAUCCUAUAAGUUCUAUUCCAUCUGAUAGUGAGAUAUAUUCUGAUCAUUAUCAAUAAUAUCACUGAAACUCUUUUAGGUAGAUUGGACAAUUCCAACUCAACCGAAUCGGAAUUAUCGAUUAUUUGGAUAGCUUUCAUAAGUCUCACAAUUCACCAGUGACGCCUAGUAGUAUGUAGUGAUAUUCUAGUAAAAUGGAAUACUGAAUCUCUAGGUACAGUUACCGUAUGAUACAGUCCUCCUAUUAAGAGUGCCGAUAAGACAGAGGUUAUGGAAUAACUCGUCAAACCCCAUCAUCUCUUAUAUGUCAAAUUUAUUUUACUCGAGUUUCUAAUAUCGAAAACCCUUUCUUCUAUUAACUUUGCCUGACUAAGGAUUUCUAAACAUGGUCUCAAAAAUUAUAUAGCACUAACACUCCUAUCUAUCAAGGGAGAUAGAUUCCAUAUAGAUGCACACCCUAUUCCUACAAUGAACCUAUUGCAGCCAACAUUGACCGCAAGAAUCCGAAUGGCUAGGGACCAAGUGUAUGUACAGUCAAACUAUAGUAACCUCAUGGUGAAUAGUCGAGGCGCCGCAGGUCAAAGGACCAGUCACACUACUGCAACAUUGAGUAAGUCACUGAUGAGUGAGUUAGACAUUCAAGUGACUUCUCGCAUUGGUUACGCUAGGUAUCUUUGUUCUCUAACAACUACCUACACAUUUGCUCUAGUGUCGCAACACUAUUGACUCGAGACUUGUCUAUCCAAAAGAGAAACGACCAAUGCAUUAAUCUCAUCAGAUCAACCACCGUUCUCAUGAGGAUUCAUCAACCUCUAUCUAAGAAUUAAUCACCAAUGACAUAUGUCUCAAAUUCUCAACUCUUGAGAAUACGUGUCACCAUCUUAUUAAUUGCUUGAACGAUUCACGGACACAUACACAAUAUGAAUAAAAAUAGGAAUCCAAAUUCAUUCAUAAUAUUUAAAAUCAAAUAUAAAUUUAUGUCUUAAAAGAAUACAAGUGUCAGCCUGACUGGCUUCUAAAGCAUACACUUAACAGGCAGAAGAAGAAGAGCUAGGUUAAAAUAGUGACUUUUCGAAAACAUAUAGAAAAGUAAAUUAAAACAUAACAAAGAGAAGUAAACAGAUUCUGACACUAUUAUCUAAAUUUUGGCAGAAAAUCUGACAAAAAUCUGUCAAAACAGGCCCAAAAAGAGUAGUGUACCACCCCGAAGAUUCUCAAAGAGAAAGGAUAGGGGAAGUUAUUGAGAUUUCCACAUCUUCUAAUUUUUUUAAUUUACAUUUUUAUAUUAAGUUUAUUUAGAUUUUUUCAAAAAAUUUAAUGACUUUAUUUGCUUUUAACUAUUCAUAGAUUUGCUAUUAGUUAUUAAUUAUUUUUUAAUUUUAAUUUCUUUAUUUGCUAUUACCUAUAGCCUAAUUUGCAUUAAAAACUUACUAACUAAUUUUGAAAUUUUGCAACAAUAGGCUCCCUUUUGGAUUUUGCAUAUUUGGACCGGAUUUUUAAAAGACCAACUAAAAUACCCUUAUUUCCUUUUCUCUCUCUUUCUUAUUUUUCCUCAUAUUUUUUUUUUCUCUAUGACCUUCCUUCUCCAUCUUCGCUGCCCUCCACGGCGGAGUGCUGCAUCCUCUUCCUCCAUCUUCGUCGGCGCAGGCACCGACGCCGAUGUCGGAAAGAAGGACUCGAAGUGAGCAUGGGUAAGAGUUGAGCAGACGGAGGCGAUGAUGUCACACCCCUUUGGCCGGUCCGGGCACGUCGAACAGACACCGAACGGACAGAGCCUCCCCUGUCCGCCCAAGGCUUAACACAUGCACAAUUCAAACAAAGAGAAUGUAUAAGCGGAAACAUACAUAAUGGCUUAUACGAGGGUAAGCAAUAGCCAGAGUGAAAGAAUACUAAACUAUACAUCAUACAAGUAGAAUGAUUAACUUUUAACCAUUUACAUUCAUGAUUCUUUUACCACAUACAUGCUUUUCAUCAUUUCCUCAAAAUAGAAUACUUACAUUCAUUUCUUUAACAUCUCUAAUCAUCAAAUACAAAAGAUGAUAUAUGGGUAUGCAACUAUGAAACAUGAAACCCAACUUGGUAGUCACUGUCUACGGCGCGAUACCUUUGCAGCGGUCGCUCGCUGGCUCGCUCGAUCCUGGCUCUGUGGAAAUAGUAGGGUAAGAACUACAACGAAGUUCCCAGUGGGUUCGGCCCCAAUCUCACCGACUUUCCUACUAGGUCUAAAUCAGGCAUAAUAGAAAAAAUAAGCAGAUAGAUAGUAACCAAUCUAUACAAAUGCAGCUAAUAUGCCUGAACAAAAUAAUCAAUGAUUAUGCUCAAUUGAAUUACUCAUGAUGAAUGCAAGUUCUCAAUCUCAAAGUUCAAUCUCAUGGCUAACCCGUAGGUUUCUCCCUUAAGCAACUCACCAACUCGUAAUCCCAGUUGUCAAGCGAGACUACUACAACUCGACAGGGACUGUUCUCUGGGGAGACUACUACACCCAGCGAUGACUACUCCGGAGCUCAUCACCCGAGGGGGAGCGACCACCCUCGAGCCAAGACGUAAGGUGAGUAUAAUCCAAUCCUUAACUAUAAGGAUGAAAGUUCAAUCCAUUCCUUAACUAUAAGGAAACAAUGCAGUCAUGACCCUUAACUAUAAGGUUGUAUGUCAUAAUGUCAAUUCUCACAUGUACUUGCAUUCUUUGUUCUCGAUCAUGCCAUUACACUAACUUUAGUAUUCUUUAUAUCACAUUCAAUGCUAACUCUAGCAUUUAUUGUUCUUUAUGCCACACUUGAUGCCAACUCUUGUAAUCAAUAUUCAUUAAUGCCGCUCUUGUUCUUUAAAUGCCACACACUAACUCUAGUGUUCAUCUUUGCAUUUACUAAUGCCACUCGAUCUACAUGUCAUAGUGUCACAUUGUUCUUUGUCUCAACUAGGUUCUUGUUAUCACCAAUCAUGCAUACACAGGGUUCAUAGGUUCUCAACUAUCUCAUAAUGCACUUGUACUCACAACAUGCAACAUUCACAUGAAUAUCAUCUCAAUUACCCUACAAUGCAUGCAACAAACACUUGCUCAUAUGCUCAAUAAGUGACACAUUAGACAUAAAAGAAAUUUCAAAGAGUUUGGAAAGCACCACCCACCUUGUAAGCUUGAUAAGGUGCUCGGGUUCGAAUUUCACGAUUUUUAGCCGUCUAUUCCCUUGCCUGCGGCAAAACGAAGCCAAAUUAGGCUUUUUCGCUCAUAACUUCGCAUAGGCUUUUCGUAAUGUCAAACCGAGCGCACCAACGCGUCGAAAACACCUCUAAUUAGGUUUCUACACGAUCAAUUUUGAUCUAAACCCUUCAAAUGCAAAAGCCCCAAUUUGGGUGCCCUAGCUAUAGCAUAUAUACAAAACCCUUGGUUUGAUCUUUUCCACAAGCAAAAACAAGCUUGUUAUCAUCUAAAAAUUUCAACAAAACCAUUCUUAGGUCAUUCCAAACCCUACUUAGGGUUCUACCAUGAGAGGGGGAAAAGCUUACCUCAAAGCUUUCCUUGCACUUGCACCUAGGAAGAAGAAGAAGAAGUUGCUUCACCUCCCAAGCUCCUUCUCCACCAAAUCCACCCCUUUGAUCCACCUCCAAGAGAGAGAAGGAAAUCCUAGAGAGAGAGAGCCUUUUUGUGAAAUGAGAGGGAGAGAAAUGAGAGAAAUAUCUUAUUUGCUCCUUUACAUAACCUAUUUGAUGCAUAAAUGCAUUUAGGCCCCUCAACUUUGCAUCCUGUGCACUGCCUAUUCUGGGCCUUUUUCGGGCACGGGGACUAGUCUCUUUAGCAGGGGACCGGUCUUCGAGAGCUGAUUUCAUGGGACUUAGCCAAUUUUUCCCCUUCUGGGAUUUUGCGCGUACGGGGACCGGUCCUCCCCUCAGGGACCGGACCUUCAGGGACCGGACAUUCCUCAAGAGACUGGUUCCUGAGAGCUUCCUUUCUGUCUACGCGCACGGGGACCGGUCUCUCCCGCCAGGGACCGGUCCUCGAGAGCUAGUUUUCCAAUACUUAGCCAUUUUUCCAUUUUUACACCUCGGAGGCUGGUCUAUCCCACCAGGGACCAGUCCCCGAGAGCUCAAAAGCUGCAGUUUGCAGAUUUUUAAUUCUCUAGCUCUCGAAGAUCUCCUAUAAUGCACUUUUGCUCCUUUUGACGCCUUCGGCCAUUCCGAAGCGUACCAACAUCGCACUUUGGUCAUUUUGACUAAAGUUCGAUAUUCGUUUAUCGAGAUUUCGGUAUAUUACAGAUGAGGUCGUGGUCGAAGUAGUGCUUGUUAUCCCCUGUGCAGGUGAGGACAAAGAUACACCGGUACUUCUCUAAGGAGCGGUUCCGACAAAGGUGGUGGCUACAGUAGAAGGUGAGAGAGAGAUCGCGAUAGCGAAAAAAAUACAGAUAGUAAAAAAAAAAAAGAAUAAAGAAAUAAAGAAAAAUAUUUUUUUCUAAAAAAAGGGCGAAGAACUAGAGAAAAUAGAAGAUGAUGAUGAAGUUGCAUUUUUAAGAUGAAGUUGUACUGUUUAAGAAGAACGUUGCACUGUUUUAGACGAAAGUUACACUCUUUGAGACAAAAAUUAUACUUUUUGAGAUAAAAGUUGUACUCUUUGUGCAAAAGUUGCACUCUUUGGACCAAAGUUAUAUUAUUUCUCUUCCUCCUUAUAAGGAUUGAGAUUUUGACAGUGUAGCUAAACUCUCUGUUGACGAUAUUUUUGUGUGUAAUUUAAUUAUAUAAGCACUCGUCAAGUUUCAGGAGAAAAUGAGUUAGGAUAGAGAAGUUACGCGAUCUUUACUAAUCACCUAAAGUGAAUAGUAAUGCCGAUUUUCCGGAGAAGCCAAUGAGUGGAGAUGGCUUCUGGUGCGUAUUGGACUCCGUUCAUAGUGAUCCAAUAGCCCGUUUCAAUGGUUCAACUAUCCUGGACCCAAUGACACUGACGGAUUUAGAUUUUGAUGCACGAUUUUUGAGAAAAAGGGGGUUUAUUGGAUUUAAACAUUUAUGUGUGUGGUUUUUGAAAAAUUGGAGAGGAGAUAGCUUUCGUCGCAAAUCGGCGACCAAAUCGGAUAAAACGAAAUUGUAGAUUUGAUGCCCCAGUCGUGCUGAACGCGCUGGCGCAAUCCGAUCGGAAAUACGACGGACGGAUCUCUGGGAAUCGCGUAAAGUUCGCUGAGGGUUUGAAAUUGGCAAAGCGAAAAAUUUGGGAAAAGCCCAAUAUUUUAUGUACCGUUUUGCGUGAUUUGCAUGAUUUCGAACGUCCAGGUGCGUACGCAUAUGAUACACGCGCUGGCAGGGACUCGGCCGAAAAUAAUCAGCCUUGGGGGACUUUUCUGCAAAAGUGCGCACUUGUAUAUAAGGCGCAACUAGGGUUUCAUUCACGAAACCCUAGCCCUUGGACUCCCCCUCAGCUCAGCUAACCCUAGCCAUCACCAGCACCAUUCUGCCCUAGCCGCGCACGUACCUCGGCCGCCGGCGAGCGUCACCGGCUGCAGGAAAAGCUUGGCUCGGCCUCUCCUUCAUUAUCUUCUCCACCUACCCGCCACCUUCCUCGGCCGUCGAUCUCAGGGAGUCACCUGCACCCUGGGAAAUUCAAUCUUCUGGCCGAGAUUGAUCUCCGGCGCCAUUCCCGUCGGCUCCCGCCGUCCCUGUGCGCCACCGGUGCCGCCUGCGCUCCCUGCAGCCACCCGCGGCCAGCUCGAGCUGAGCCUGAGACAGCUUGCGGCCACGAGCUGUUGUUGCAUCGGGGCAGGCCGCGCCGCCUCUAACAGGCCGCCGGUGACCUCCCACGCGCCAUCCCCGCCGUCCCCGCAGGCCGUCGCCGCCGCUCGUGCUCCCUGCGGCCGCCCAGACCCGGAGCGGGCCGAACCGUACUCCUUCGGCUCCCGGCGACGUGCCGCCGUCGCCCCAACGCUCCCUAGGCCGCCAUCGCUCCUCGAACCCGAGCCGAUGCCGCACGGGUUCCUGCCAUUCCAUCGCGCCGUCGGCUAACCCCCGCCACGGGCCAACGCGUGCCCGUGCCCCCUCUGACCGGCCACGACCUCCCCCUACCAGCGCAUCCGCAGUCCGGCCGCCGCUGGUCGUCCCGUGCCCUACCUUGCUCCGGUAAGGUAAUUUACUAUUUCUGUGCACUAUUUCGAGUUUUGGUCGUUUUUUCGGCGAUCCGUGAACACUCUGACACUCCCGGAAGUGAGCGCGAUGAUCCCUGAUCCGUGUCGAACAUCGUGCUCACCUCCGUAGGGAUCAGCGAAGCCCUGAUUUGCCUGCAAAACACUGUUUAGGCGCUGUGCGCGCUAUUUUGCUGAACUUCGCAUUGAACCCGUAGUCGCCACAGUGGCCGACCGUGCUCCGAAGUGUAAGCACGGCCUCCGACACAUCGAGACCCAUCAGCGGGUGACUCGACCAGGCUAGAAAGUCCUCGGUUUGCGCUGUCGGACCGUAAAACCUCGAAAAUCACAUAAAAUGAUGUGAUUUUAUAUAGUCACAGGGGCUUAUAUGCAAUUUUACACUGUGUGAUUGCUGUUGGAAGUGUGUGCGGGCAUCGGGUGACCUCUGGACUAGUUGUCCAAGGCCCCAGGCCUUUUCGGAAAUCGAAUGUUGAUUUUCGGUGCGUUUUUCGACGAAAUCCGCCAACAGAACGCGAUUUCGGUUUGGAAUUCUUCCGACGGUGCCUCACGGUAGAUCAUGUUGUCACUGAGCCUUGUUGGCUGGUCACCCGGAAAGUUUCGAGGGUUUGAAAAUGACGGAUGAGCGACGGUGAGUUCCGGUGUCGAAAUUGACACUUCCGGGAACCUGGAUCGGAACGAUUAUCCUGCGAUAAUCGUUUCAAUGUGAGAAGAUGUGUUUGCUGUCGAGUCACACAAAUUACUAUGUUUAGUAGCAGCGGGUGACUCGUGGUGUAAGUCGGUGAGUUCCGGGACAGUUCGUGGGUCCCGACGGAGUCCCGGUGCGAUUUUCAAGACUUCCGGCGUGUCACGGCAAUCGGUUUUGGGAAAUCGAUUCAUGUGGGUUUACUGGUGGGAAUGUGAGUUUGUGUUUCAUAUAUGUGGGUUGGAUACUAACCCGGUGGACCUUUCAUAUGUCCGGUCGUUCUUCCGCAGUCGGAAGACAGGCGCGACAUUCGUACAGGUGGGUACUUCGACCCGAAGUCGGUACAGUGGUGCACGCUCGGUGACAUCUUUUCCACCCUUAUCCUAUUAUCAUUGUUGCAUGAUAUAUGUUGAGCCUUGCACCUUUGUUAUUCCGUUUACGCCCUAUUUGGUUGUUUUCAUGUCUAGCAUCAUGAGUGGGAGUAAAGCAUGUUUAUGACUACAUGUGAGAUUUGUAACCUAGUCGGUCGGUUCUUGUAUCUCAUACUAUGACCUUUUCGGUCGGUUCAUUGCACCUGGUGGUAUUGUGACCUGCUUGGUCGGUUGGACUACUUGAUGACCUAUACGGUCGCCAUACCCUAAGGGAUAUGAUUGUCAGUUAGAGGCUGACGGCUAGUCCUGGAUUAUACCGAUGCAUGACGUGACAUCCUUGUGACCUAUUGGUCAGUUCUUGUGCAUAUAUGUUAGUUGACAUUGAGUGGUCGAUACUUGCAUACCUCCGGAAGAAUGUUAAGUUGUUCUAUCCUAGUUGACCUGAGUGGUUGGUGCUUGUGUUCCUUACGGUUUGAUGACCUAUUGGUCGGAGUGCCCCCGAGGGGCGGUAAUUGUCGACUAGUUGCCGAUGGUUGGCUCUUGAGCAUAUCAGCAUCGAUCGCCACAUACUCGUUCGCAUUCACGAACACCAGCUGUCUGAUCCAACGCGGUUAGGUGUUCUUUUCCGGAAAAGUGGUUGGACGUGCCAACCUGUGAGCCUAUAGGCUACCUUGGGUUAUAUGCAGCCUGUGAGCCCAUAGGCUACCUUGGGUUAUAUACAGGUAGAGUGGCAGUGGCACAGGCUUGAGGUCUGCGGACCGUCAUGCCAGGUUUCUGAUUGGGUAUUUUGGGGACUGAUCGUCCGGUUGAUGUAUACUUGCACUUUGUUCUGUUUUACAGUAGCGGGUAGUUAUACUCCUAUGUACUGUUGUUUACCCACGCAUCAUUACUACUGUAGUUAUGAUAUCCACGUAUGCAUUCUGUUUUAUGAUAUCCACGUAUGGUUUAUGAAUGUAAUAAAGUUUACGGAGUUUUAUGAGUUGAUGGUUUUCUACCCCUCGAGGUAGCGUGUUUUAAAAGAAAAGGUUUUUGUGUGAAAAACGGUUUUAAAAAAAGGGUUUACUGGUUUUCGUAAUUCUUAGCAUUUCAAAAUAAGUUUUCGAGUGUGAAACGUUUUAAACUAAUAGAUGUAAAUUUAUGAAUGUGAAUGGUGUAUGCAUGUAGAUGUUUGUACUUGUGGUUGUAUCUUGUACUUGUGUGACGCCGUGCAAAUACAAGGGAGAGACUCUGCCCGUGUGAACAGUGGAUAUCCUUUAUUUGUGACGGAUCUCAUAUCCUCUGGGGUCAAGGUUUUCAAAAAAAAAAAAAAAACUUGGGCACUUCCGUGUUGGUUUUAAAAUCCAAAGGGAUCCCGGGGCGUGACACUCCUCGUCCUCGUCCUCCUCUCCCUCCAUUUUAUCGUGUUUCUUCUGUGACCAUCUCCUUUUCGCCCUCCACCUCUACAGUAGCAGAUCCGCCACCCACCAAACCCGCUUUUGGGAACCCCCCGUCCCCACCGCCACAGAUGACGACGAAGAGGAAGUGAUUCUCGGCAUCGGGAAGCUCGCCGGCAAAGGAAGGGGCAUGGGGCCCAAGGUGCCCACCCGGGGAUGACGACUCACGCAGCGGAGAUAGAGGAGAGAGCGGCGAUGCUAUAGAAGAGGCCAGGCGAGGAGGGCGUGGGAUUCGAACCCUAAAUUUCCCUUCUCGCUCGGCCUCUUCUCCGACAUCGCUGCGUUCUCCUCUGUCUCUGUCGCAUGCAUCACCGUCCGCAGGUGGGCGCUGUGGGCUUCGUGCCCUCUUUCUCAUCGGCGAGCUUCUCGGCGUCGAGAAGCGCUUCCUCUUUGUUGUUGACGAUAGCUGUGGGGACGGUAGGUUCCCAGAAGUGGGUUUGGUUGGUGAUAGAUCUUCUACCUUCGAGGUCGAAGGAGAAAAGAAGACGGGCACAGAAGAAGCACGAGAAAACGGAAGGAAAAAAGGGAGAAAGAAGGAAGAAAAGGAGAAACAGUGUAACUUUCGCCCAAAAGGGCAACUUUCGCCUGAAAAGUGCAACUUUCAUCCAAAUAGUGCAACUUUCUUUUCGCAAAAAGUAUAAUUUUUGUCUCAAAGAGUGUAAUUUUCGUUUAAAAUAGUGCAAAUUCAUCAUCUUUUUUUUUAUCUAUUUCUUCGCCUUUUUUAUUGAAAAAAUUCUUUACUUUUUUAUUUUUUAUUCUUUUUAUUUUUUUCCUUGUCAUCUACAUUUUAUUUUACUAUCGCAUUCUCUCCCUCGCCUUCUAUCGUGGUCACCGCCCUUGCCGGAAGUGCUCCUUGAAGAAGCGCAGGCGCGUCUUUGUUCUCACUCUCAUGGGCGAUAGCAAGCGCUGCCUCGACCACGACCUCACUGUCUUCGUUCACUCCGCUCUCACCCACGCUCGCUUCAAGUCCUCCGGCACAAAAAAGGAUAUGGCACUGCUCUCAUUACCGUUGUGGAGUGCCACGGAGGCGGUAGAGGGGGGUUGAAGAGAAAAAAAAAUAAGAGAAAAAAGGAGAGAGAAAAAUAAAUAAGGAUAUUUUGGUCAGUUUUUUAAACAUUCGACCCUAAUUUAUAAAAUCCAAAAAGACGUCCUACUUUUGCAAAUCUCAAAAUUAAUAAAUUUUUUAUGCAAAUUGGCCCUAUUUUUAUUUUAAAAAUAUUUAAUGGUUCUAUGUCCUAUUAGCUGUUAUUUUUUUUUAAAAAUUUUUAAUGGCUCUAUUUGCUAUUCACUAUUAAAUUUGAUGAAUUUGUUAGUUAAUUAAAUAGAUUCUUUAACUCACCUAAAAUCGUUUGACAAAAAAGUUUAAAAAUUAAUAACAUGUCAAUGUACGGCCUAUAGUUGAGGCUACUCCAUACAUUAUUUCCUAAUUUUCAUUACGGGUUAUUAGGUGUUUUUAUAUUGGAUCAUUUGAGAGUGACAUAUAGGCCAUCGAAGAGUAAUGUUGCCCGUACACUUUAAAAGACGGUAGAAUUCUUACUGUUGGCUUAAAUGGGUCAGCAUUCUGCCCUGUGGCGGAAUGCUAUGUUGGGCCGAGUCAUGUUCGAAAUGGCGUGAGGCUGAGUGGGCCGAGUCAUGUCCGAAGUGGCAUGAGGCUGGUUGGGCUGAAUCACAAUUGAGACCCGUGGGCGCUAUAUCUGUACGCUUUAAGUGAAUUGGUUGUGUAUUUCUAAUAGCUAGAACAUUUGGGAUUAAUGGUUAGCGCCAACUGUCAUGUCUCGCGACCACCAAUUUGGUCGAUUUGGGCACGCGCACAGACGCCGAACGAACAAAGCUUUCCUUGUCCGACCAAGGCUUCACAACUGCAUAAGCAUGUAUAAAGAAUUGCUCAGGAAAAUUUCAAUAUACAUGACUUGCACGAGGGCAAGUAAACAAGAUCAAGUGAAAGUAAAAUACUAACUAUUACAUCCAUACAUUGAACUUUGAUUACUUUAACCAAAAUACAACUCUUUUCAUACAUCAUUACAUACAAUAUUCAUCUCCCAAAAUACAUUCAUUUUACAUGUCUUUUCAUUAAGAACAAAAGAUGAAAUAAAUGGUACAACUAUGCCAUAGGAGGUCCACUACCUACGACGCUAUGCUCUUGCCGCAAUCCUCAACCGCCCCGCUCGCGCUAGAAUCUGCAAAAUGAGUGGGGUGAGAACUACAAGAAGUUCCUAGUGGGUUCGGCCGCUGACUCCGCCGACUCUCCCAUUAGGUCUAAUUAGACAUAAGUAGAGAAAGAGAUAGAUCGAAAAACAAAAGUAAUGCAACUACUAUGCCUGAACAUGAAACUGAAGCAAGUAUAUAUGUUCAUGAUGUAUGUAACUUUUCUUUACCAUUAACUUUACCCAAUCCUCUUGGCUAACCUAUUGGUUAAGCCCAACUCACCAAACCAAAUCCCUUUUGUCAGGGAGAAUUCCACUGCAACCCGACGGGACCGUCUACUGGGGAGAAUUCUGCUACCGCCUAGUUGAUGAUAACUCCGGAGCUCUGCGCUUGCGGUGGAGCAACUACCCUCAAGCAUAUCAGACUACCUGUGAGUAUGAUCCAAUCCUCAACCUUGAGAAUACCAUGACACUAAUGUCAUAACAUUAAUGUUCCAUUUUUUUAGCAUUCCAUGUUUCUAGGUGCUAUUCAAUCCAUCUAGUCAUAAUGUCACCAUGUUUACUACAUUGUCAUAGUCAUAGCCCACAUCUUGAUUCAUACAUCAAUAGGGUUUUCAUACAUCUAAGGUUCUAUUCACAAUUCAUUUACAUCCUUACAUUAAGGCAUGCAAGAGAUUCCACAUAUUAACAUUUAACCCUGCUAUGCAUGAUUACUAUACAUAUACAUACAUGUUCAACAACGACAUAGACAUAACGAGAAAUUCAACUGUUUAGGAUAGAACCACGGGAUGCAAGAACCCAAGUCCCGAGAUUUAUCUUCGCCUAUUUCUCUUGACCCAACGCCAACGAAAGAAAAAUAGGGUUUUUCUUCAGUAGGACGCCGUAGGCUUGUCGAAACUUCGAUCCGAGUGGUCCAACAUGUCGAAUUAUCCUUCAAUUAGGAAUACAAGAAAUCAAUUCCAUCUUAGACCUCAAUUCCAACAAAACCCUAAGUUUGACCUUAGGGUUUGCAUACUUCACAUAUAUCCAAUUUUUCUAGGAAUUCAUGGAAUAAUCUAAGCCCUCAAAUCCCAAGAAUCCUAAAAACAUGCAAUUCAGGAUAAUUAAACCAAACCCUAACAUGUACAAGCAAGGGAACUUACCUAGAUCACCUUGCAACUCAAGUCCUUGUUCUUAAGCUUCUUUACCUCCAAGAGCUCCAAUUCACCCUCUAAUCUCCUCCAAUUCUACCUUGUUGGAGAGAUUCUAGAGAGAGAAGGAGAGAAAUUAAGAAGAAGAAGAGAAAGAAAUAGUUUUGCCCGUACAUGAGGAGUAAAUGCAUUAGGCCCCUUAUAUAGGCCAGCAUAAUUGCAUUUAAACCCUCCAACUAUUCACAUUUACAGCCACUCAAAUUUUAAAUCUCGUAGGGCUGACUACCGGUACUCGAAUUGGAGUACCGGUACGUGAGCCCCCCAGUACUGGUACCGGGUACCUCAACCCGAGAGCAAACAUUUUGGGUUUUAUAUAGGGUUCCGGUACGCGCCACCCAAUACCGAUACACGACCUCCAGUACCGGUACCCGCUACGCAGUACCGGUAUGCCCCAAGGCAGCAACCAAACCCGAGAGCUGGCUAUUCGAGUAAUCAACUGAGUACCGGUACUCAACCUCCAGUACCGGUACGCAGCCUGUAUAGUACCGGUACCCCCAGCUCAGUAGCUCAACCCAAGAGUUGGUAAUUUUUCAUUUGUAUUGGGUACCGGUACCCCAUUCUUGGUUUCGAUACUCAAUGUAAUUUCUACAAUUUCAGCAGACUUAACACUUCAUAGCCCGUUUUCGUACCCGGUUUGUGUCGAAAAUACUCAAAUACUCUCGAAAGUCACUUCUAACCAUCCCAACGCCUUCAAGGCAACUUGGGGACUUUGCUUAUCACCCUCAUACCACACUUUGAUCACUUUGAUCAAAGUUACCAUACGAUUCGGGAAUUUGGUAUAUUACACCAACGAUCCGACAAGUGGUAUCACAGCCAGAGGUCACGGGUUCGAUUUUCGCAUACUGCAAAUAUAUGCAGGUGCUGAAGGGGUCAUUGUUGGCUUAAAUGGUCCAGCAUCCUGCCCUGUAGCGGGAGGCUAUGUUGGGCCGAGUCAUGUUCAAAAUGGCGUGAGGCUGGGUGGGCCAAGUCAUGUUCGAAGUGGCGUGAGGUUGGUUUGGCCGAGUCACAAUCGAGACCCGUGGGCAUUGUAUCUGUACGUUUUAAGUGAAUUAAUUGAGUAUUUCUAACAGCACGAGUUUUUGGGAUUAAUGAUUAGUGCCAACGAUCCGACACUUGCACUAUCUUUAUUUAAAGGCCAAUUGUAGUAUCCCUGGUUUGUGGGUUGCUGUGGAUCUAAGCAUCUGAGGCUUGUCGACAUAUCUGGAGAGUGUCAGGACAAGUUGGAGUUGUUUUGGCACAAAAUGGACGCAAAACGGACUCAGUGCGACGCGAGAGCAGAGUUUUGACAUUGAAAUGUACAAAGUGCAGGUUGUCAGUGUUGAGUACCGGUACCAUAUAGGGGAGUAUCGAUACCCCAGUGUAAUUUUAGAAUAGACUGCUCUCAAGUUACGCUAUUUGAUACUGAGUACCGGUACGACAUCGGGCUCGUACCGGUACCCUGUGUGCGAGGUUGCUGGCGGAGAGGCCGAGUACCGGUAACCAAAUCGAGUACCGGUACUCCAAUGGCUUGUUGAGUUGGUGGGGGGUAGUAUUAUCUUUUUGGUUGGUGGUUAUCCACACCACCUACUCCCCCUCAUAUUUAUCUACCUGAGAGAGAAUAAUUAUCUCAUGUUCCUCUUUAGUUUGAUCGUGUGCUUGGUGGAGGCCGUGGCCCGAGCUCGGGAGAUUUUCGACGUCGAUUCGGAGGGCCAUUCGAGUGUCCGUGCGUCGCGGUUGCGUCGUUGAAGGCCGGGUGAGCGCGUGAUUUCCUCUCCUUUCGACUUCUCGCCAUAGUUGAACGAGCUUUUCGAGGUGGGUUGAAGUUUAUCGAAAUCGCCGGAAUGCCUCCUAAGUUUCUAUAUUGUCAACAUGUAUCAUUUGUUUAUUUUCUUGCUAGUACUUGAAUUCAUGGAUUAGAGUUAAAAUAUGAAUUUGGAGUUAAGCUAGUAGUAUAAUUUUACAUGUUGGACUUGGAAUUGACUUAGGAGAAAACAUAUAGAUUCUACACUGUCACUUUUUGAAAAUUACCAGAUUUAGUUUUAGGAGCUGUGGUUCAUUUGUAUCACCGCUGUUCGUAUGCGAUGGAUACCCAGAAUAGUGUAGAAUAAAUUUACACUCGUGCUGGGAUGCCGAGUUUAUUUUACAAUAGUGUGUAGACUGUUUCGGACUGUCGGGUGCCGUCACGACUAACGGUGGACCCAGAUUGCUGUUUUUGCAUCGGAUUGUGCCAAGGGCACGUGAGUUUUGGUUGUAGGAUCAGUUAGACCCUUUUGCUUUGAUUAUAGCCUGGGAGAGCUUAAUUGAGCUCGGCAUAGACACGCUUGUAUACUCGAUUAGGUAGCGCCCACGAGUGCCACUCCGGAGUCGGGCUUAGUGCUUUUGUGUUGAUGUCGUAGUGUCCUGGUUGGACUUGCUUUCCACCAACAACCCAGCGUGGUGGUGGUUGCUGUAGCUUCGACAGGCGGGACGGGUGUGUUCACAGUCCCUAGCGAGAUUGGGUUAGAGAGUGCAUUUCUAUAUUUACAGAUAGUAGUUAGCGAUAGUAUAGUGGCCUAUAGCUAUAGAGUUUUACCAGCAUUCUUUACUAUCCUUGUAUAUAUUUUCUGUAGACUUAGUGGGUGAGCCGUUGAGGUCUGUAGCGGUACCCAUUGAGGACUACUUUUUGCAGUCGUUCUCACACCCAGUUGUUGACCCCUUUUUGCAGAGCCUUCUUCUGCGGCUGCUGCUGUCGUCGAUACUGAUCGUGGAAGGGGAGUUGCGACCUAGAUCCCUUCCCUGGUUGCAGUUCUAGAGGAGUACCAUCUACAGGUAGUUUUGAAUUUUUGGUUCAUGUACAUACUUAUACUGGUACUCGUUGGAGCGAGUGAUGUCUGUAUUUUGGAGACUAUGUAUGUAUAGUGAAUCUGAUGUUUAUUUAUAUAUGUUUACAGUUUUGUUAGUAGCUCUAUACUACUAGUUAUAGUUUUGUAUGAUUACAGGUACAGGUACAGCUAUCGCUUCGUAUACAGAGAAAAUUUUUUUGUAUACGGCGGGUCUGUUUGUGUGCCCGGAGAAAUAUGGUAAUCCGGGACGUGGCAGAUUAAGUUGGUAUCGGAGAUUAGUAUUAGGUUGUUGGGACCUAGAAAACUUUAAGCUUGGCAAAGCUUAGGAAUGCAAGACACGAGAGGCGUGAUUUAUCGCGAAAGUCAACAUUUGAAUUGUUUUUAACUCAUCCUAGAGUAGAGUGAGUGACUGAAGGAGUGUCUGUUUCGGCCAAGAAAAUUAUGUCGGCUAUAGACAGCAUAAUUUUGAGGAGAAACAGGGGUGGCCUUCUAGACUUUCGCUUGAUUGGGUCGAGAGUUGAUUGUGUUGUGUAUCUGACCCUUUUUUUGAUUUCAGGUAGCCAUGUAUCAACGCUGAGGUCGACCGUCGACGCGGGACCGUUUUGCACUAACUGAGAUGCCUGAGUAGGUAGGGCUGAGCGCACCCCUUGAUCUGAGAGAGCAGUUGGCUGCUCUGACUGAGGUGACGAGGCAGCAGGGGGCAUUGUUACAGAGGAUGUGUGAGACAUUUACUCCGCCGUUGAGCACAGCGCCUAGAGCACCAGAGUAGUCAGCACCACCACCCACUAUUCCCGUGGCCGCACCAGCCACAGCUGUACCCCCGCCGGUGACAGUUCCUACGGUGCCAGCUAUAUUCUCUGGAGAGGCGUCGUAUAUGUCUGAGGCUGAGCAGGAGCGGAUGACUGAGAGGCUUGCUCGUUUUUGUCAGUUUGAUCCGCCGAGCUUUGACGGCAGCUGUACGGAGCCCUGGGUUGUAAAGGGCUGGGUGAGCGCGAUGGAGAAGUUAUUUGAGGACUUGUUCAUACCGGAGUGGGAGCAGGUACAUCUGGGAGUGCAUUGUUUGGCUUGCGAUGCGCAUUCUUGGUGGAAUAGGAUGAGGGAGACUCGACGGUUUGUGGCGUUGCAGAUGAAGUAGGAUGAGUUCUGUGGAAUGCUGUACGAGGAGUACUUCCCAAACAGUGUGAAGCAGAAACUUGAGGAGGGCCUGAAGAAGCUAUAGCACGGGGAGCGAUCAGUUCAAGAGUAUACCCGUGAGUUUACGUGACUUCUGAACUGUGUGCCAUUUGUAGCCAGGGAUGAGGCCCACAUGGUAUAUUUGUAUGAGGGGGGCUUGAGGCUAGAGAUCUUUUGGUUGGUACAGGCGCAGAGGUUGUGGACCUUGGAUGCAUCGAUUGAGCAUGCAUUGUGGGUGGAGAGAGGAGAUGUAUCGAUCCAUGAGCGGGCUCAGGUGCUGCGGCAGAGUCAGGAUAGGAAGCGCCCGGUUCCAGAUGAUGGAGGAAAGUCGAGCAGCAGGCGUCCGCCAAGGCCUCCACGAUCACGUUCUCAGGGUCGUGGGUCUUCGGGGCGACAAUGUUCUGGGGGACCUCAUCAGUAGAGGCAGUCGCAGGGGACUCCGUGGUGUGUGAUUUGUGGGGGACCACACUGGCCCCGACAGUGUGAGCAGCGGAAGAGCCGAUGUUUCACUUGUGGACAACCGGGACAUAUGAGGGCAGCUUGCCCUCGAGCAGCAUCACCAGCACCAUCGACGGUGUUAGCACAGCCGGCACCUCAGCAGUCUCAUGGAGCAUUAUCGAGCUACCGUGAGGAGGACAGAGCAACUGUGCCGCGACAGAGUGAGCGGCGACAGCAGGCCCCGAGUGGCAGAGUGUACACAGCUCAGGUGGAGGACUCUACAGCAGCAGACCGGGUGGUGGCAAGUGUCAUUUUGAUUUCUAGUAUUAGAGCUCGUACAUUAUUUGAUACCGGCGCAUCACAUUCUUUUGUUAACCGAGCAUUUGCAUCAUUAUAUGGUCUAGAGGUAGGGCCGUUGUUGCAUGCACGAGAGGUGCAGAUUUUUGACCAUAUUUUGCAGGUAGAGGAGUGUUGUUGGUCGUGUCCGGUGCAGUUGGGCUCUUAGAUUAUGCCCACAGACCUGUUGGUCUAAAGGCAGCUGCAGGACUUUGAUGUUGUGCUUGGCAUGGAUUGGCUGGCGCGGUACUAUGCUACGAUCCACUGUAGAGCGAAGACAGUGACGUUCCGCGAGCCAGGCCAGGAGGUGUUCACGUACAGGGGCUGCAGGAGUACGUUGUUUGCCACUUGGAUCUCGUCUGCGAGGGCUAGGCAAUUGUUGAGUAGAGGAUGCAUCGCUUUUCUAGUGACGGUUGUAGAGGUGCCUAUGGCGGUGUCGGGACUCGAGGAUAUUCCUAUAGUCCGCGAGUUUCCGGAUGUGUUUCUCUCGGAGUUCACGACUAUGCCGCCGGAUAGAGAUAUUGAGUUUGUGAUUGACGUAGUUCCUGAAACUGCGCCAAUCUUUAAGGCACCCUACCGGAUGGCAUCGGCAGAGCUGAGAGAGUUGAAGGCGCAACUUUAGGAUUUGAUGGAUAAGGGGUGUGAGAUCCAGUGUAUCGCCUUGGGGGCGCCGGUGUUAUUCAUAAAGAAGAAUGAUGGUUCACUUAGACUAUGUGUGGAUUAUCGAGAGCUAAAUAAAGUGACCAUCAAGAACAUGUAUCCUUUGCCACGCAGUGAUGAUAUGUUUGAUUAGCUACCAGGAUCUUGUGUCUUUUCGAAGAUUGAUUUCCAGUUAGGUUACCACCAGUUGAGGGUGAGGGCCGAGGAUGUUUCCAAGACGGCUUUUCGGACUCGGUACGGGCAUUAUGAGUUCAUUGUGAUGCCUUUUGGAUUGACGAAUGCCCCUGCCGUAUUUAUGGAUUUGAUAAACAGAGUGUUUAAGCCGUACUUGGAUAGAUUCGUAGUUGUAUUCAUUGAUAAUAUUUUGAUAUACUCCCGGAGUGAUGUUAAGCAUGAGGAACACUUGAGGAUAGUGUUACAGCUUCUGAGGGAGAAGAAGUUGUAUGCUAAAUUGAAGAAGUGCGAGUUUUGGCUGCGGGAGGUUUCUUUCUUAGGCCAUGUGAUUUCUGCAGUUGGAGUAGCAGUGAACCCGAAGAAGAUUGAUGCUAUUGGCAUUACUUGUAUUACGAGCACUGCGAGAUUUUUACAGAUCAUGAUAAGAGUCUCAAGUAUCUGUUCACCCAAAAGUAGUUAAACCUGAGGCAACGCCGAUGGUUAGAGUUAUUGAAGGACUAUGAUGUUAGUAUUUAGUAUCACCCUGGCAAGGCAAAUGUAGUGGCAGAUGCGUUGAGCAGGAAGUCAGUGUAGAGCUUGAGCAUGUUGAUUACUUAGUAGAGGCCGUUACUUGAGGAGUUGCAGUAGUUGAGGCUUGAGAUAGUGUCCUCUGGGUCUACUACAAGACUGAUGUCUAUGGUUUUGCAGCCCACUCUGUUGGAUAGAAUUAGGGAGAAACAGAGUGGAGACACUCAUUUGUUGAGGAUUCUAGAGCAGUUAGAGAGGGGAUAGGCGGAGGCCUUUCCAGUAGACAGUUCGGGAGUACUGUGGUACAGGGACCGGCUGUGUGUGCCUAUGAAUUCAGAGAGAUCUGAGAGAAUUUUGAGAGAGGCUCAUUACUCACCUUAUAUGGUUCACCUCGGUGGAACCAAGAUGUAUAAG
This 62245-nucleotide long non-coding RNA is filed under the name Ananas comosus (pineapple). Its description in RNAcentral is "long non-coding RNA (ACOM_LNC010444)". Lineage: Eukaryota; Viridiplantae; Streptophyta; Magnoliopsida; Poales; Bromeliaceae. The record is from RNAcentral.